Molecule: long non-coding RNA, 71453 nt
Filed under: Citrus x clementina
Lineage: Eukaryota; Viridiplantae; Streptophyta; Magnoliopsida; Sapindales; Rutaceae
Description: Citrus clementina (C. clementina) long non-coding RNA (CCLE_LNC002744)
Source: RNAcentral
AAAAACCAGACUACACUGAUUUCCUGUUCCAGGAUUCCCAAGACCCAUGGGAUGCAUUUCUCCCUCUGAGCCAACACCUUCACCAGUUUCCCCAACCAACAAUGGAUGAACCUGGCCCCUCUGAACCAGGACCUUCAACUCAAUCCUCCAAACGACCAGCUCAACCAUCCAAAGUUGACAAAGCUACCCAAACUUCCCCUCAGUAUACUCCAAAGUGUACUCCCAGAGACUAUAAUUGCCCUUAUCCACCUUGCCGUGGUCCCCACUGUAAGCAUCCAAAGCUCUCCAAGACCUUUUUCCCAAAAAGCAACCCUGACAACCCAUAUGAGACAGAAAGCUCAUCCGAAGACGAGUACAUGAACCUCCGCUCUCCAUAAAGUUGUUUGUCUUGUUGCUUUCCAUAAAGUAGUUUGUCUUGUUGUCAUAAUGAUGUUUCGCUUUAUGCUUGCAUAAUUAUUAAAGUUUGCUUUUACUUUAAGCUUUUGCUUUUGCUUUUGACAAAGUCAUGCUUUAAUUAUUAAAGCACUUUUGUCUUUUGUAAUAAUUAAAGUUGUGCCAUUAUGUAAAAGAUAGGGGUCCUGUCCUAUCUUAUCUUUUGUUUUUGCUUUUGUAAAAGAUAGGGGUCCUGUCCUAUCUUCUCAAGAAUCCUCCUCUAUAUAAAGGAUUCUCCCCUUGCUUGUAAGAUAUAAGAAAAAUUUCCAAGAAAAAAACUCGUGUGUUUUCUUCCAUGAAUUUCUAAACUCUCCUUUCUCUCUCUGCAAAUGAAGUUCUAAGAAAGAAAAGGAAUAAAGGAUUAAAUUUGUUCAUUUUGAAAACCUAAGGAAGUAUGCUCUGCACUUGCCUUCUAGUAAGGAUCCUGUGCAUCAGAAAACUUUUGAUCAUUUCUUAUCUGGUUUGGUACCCUGUUUUAGACUAAAGGAAAGUCUGUUUUGGGUUGUAUAACCUGAGAAAAAAUGUUUUAAAGGUUUUUGAUUACAGAGGUAUAUCGGCUGGAAACCCGAGCUUGCGGACUACUGGUCCAAAGUACAGUUUUAACUGUUGUAGUUCUGGUAUAACAACGCCACGUAUACAGAGGCUUGAGAGUUUGAUCGCCAUUCAUUUGACACUUGGCUGAGCUAUAGCAUACCAACUAGUGAUUAAUAAAGAGAAGGUAUGAAGGUCCUGUUGCUGGUGGUAUUAUCAAUCAGAAUUGUUAUUUUACUUAGUCAUAGUUACCAUGUAUACUAUUCGUAGACUUUUUGCAUGUUUAUGCAUUCGCAUCAUCUUUUUGUUAAGCUAGAGAUGGUUGAUUUGUGUACUCAUUUGUAUCACUUGUAACCCUUGAGGAAUAAAUUUAAAAUUCGGUUGCAUCUCCUGUACUAAAUACUAAUUAACUCAUGUAUGGGAAAUGGUUCAUUAUCUUAUUUCUUUGAUGCGUAUAGUGUUACACUGUCUAAAGUUGAAAAGUAUUUCUAUCACUUGUGUAAAAAACAAACAACUUUUUUUUUCACUCUUCUUAUAUUGAAUAAAAGAGGGACACCAAGAUCUUCACCAAGAUUGAACAAAAUUUGAUGCAGAAAACAUAGCAAUUAGGCUAGUGCAAAACAACUUCCUUUUGGUUCUCUGAUAUUUGACUUAAAUCUUUUGUUUGUUUCAUUCAUCAAAGUCAUUUUGGAAAGUAGCAGGGGUGAUUUGAUAUUUUCAUUGUAUUCACAUCCCUUGGCACCAAAACAAGCGUGUUGGUACUAACCAACAAUUUUUUAUUUUUAGUAUACAAAUUAUUUUUUUAAGACAAAUAUGCUGGUACUAACCAAUAAUAUUUUCUUUUCAGUAUACAAAUUAUUCUUUUUUUUAAAUUAGGGGUAUCAAGGAAAGAUAUACUAGCACCAGAGGAAAGAUAUACUAGCACCAGGGGAGGUAUUUAAAAAUACACAAAUAUAAUCUAUCAAACUGAGAAUACGCCAAACCGGCAGGUUUCUGAUAAAUCCUUUUUUUCUUUUUCCUCCAUUCACGAUAGGUUCAAUUUAGACACUGUUGACCAAACAGAAGGUUUGGGUUGGUAAACGCACUAGCGUAAUAGUGUUAAUGCCAACAACCCAAGGGGCUUCGUGGUCCUCUGGGCCGAAAUAGCGUAAUUAUUAAUUCUCCUCCAGUGAAAAACUUCAUCUUGGGACAAAUAAUUACAAUUUGACAUUAUUGCUGUGGAACUCUGGAGGUGUAACAACCGGAAAAAUAAAAAUCUUAAGACUUUUUAAAUAAAAAAGAUAUAACACCUUUAAUUUGCUAAAAGUAAUGGUAUCAUUUCUUGUAUGGAUAAUGGAUGAUUAGAUUUUGUUUUUUUGUUAUCCGACGAAGGAUAUUCAGUUGUUCUUUAUGUGUUCAUAGGCAAGAGCAUGAGCAUAUGCAUCAUUUGAUAUAUACUUCUUGCAUUUUCUAAUUACGGACUCUCUUUCCUUGCCUUCUUAGUUUUGAAAGAAAGAUGUGAAGCAAAGCAAACCCAGUGAAAUCUACAGAGAAACAGAACCAUCAGAGGAAAAACUAAAUAACAGAACCACAAUUGAACCAAACAAAAUCAAAUAAACCGAGGCAACGGAUGCCCUGAAUCAGGCAUCCCUUUUUGUCGAAAGAAAAUAUGUUUGCAUGGGUGGGAACCUAAUAAUUACUCAAGAGUUGGAGUUGGAAAGAUUUGGUAUUCAUAUCUUCACAAUUCAUAAGCUUUAAUGCAGAAUCGACGGCUUUAUAUUAAUUUAUUCGACCAAAAACGAUAAAGUAGGAAAACCACAAUAAUCCACCAACUUUUGCUACUUUUAGGAAUAAUUUUUAGUCAACUUUCAAAAAGUGACAUGACGAUCUUUGAGUUGACAAAUCUUGGCCUGCUGCUUAGUACCCUUUCAACAUAUUAAGUACUAGUCUACUAGAUGUUUUACUGAGAAAAUGACGAGAUCAUUUAUCAAAUUUCUUGCGCAUAUAUACAUAUAUAUACAAGAAAUAAGAAUCAGAGUGAUUGUAAGACCUUGCAAUGAGGCAAUAAUACAUCAUCAAAUCUAAAAAUACACAAGAAAUUCGUGACGUAUAUAUAACAAUAGACCUCUCAUUGAGUCAUACAUAUUGAGAAUAAAAUGUCAAAAUGUAUACAAAGAGCUUAUACAGAAAAUGAAUUUACACACAUUUAAAAUAAACUGUCUUUGAACUUCCGAUGGUCAAACAAAGGAAACAGACAGGAAAUGACACACACUAUCAUAUAUGUAGCGACACGAUGAAGUAAAUCACAUGAAGAUGGAAAGGGGAACCCCUCACAGCAUAAAAUUUGAAUAGAGGGGGAAAAAGGCUUCAUUUCGAAUGUUGCACGGAAGAAGAGUGAUUUGAAUCUCCAUCAAUAUUCAGACAUUCUGCAAACACAGUGCUGAGAAUUUUAACAAGAAUAACAGACAAAAUAUUGUGCUCUCUAUACUUUCACAAAACAAGACCAAAUUAGUUCCCUUUUUGGUUUGUGAAAACUUGAUAUUUUUUAAAAUUCUAUCCAAUGCUUUCAAACAAUAUUUCCACAAUAUAGUUGUUCAUAGCUAACCUUUGAUUGUUUAAGGAUUUGUUGUAGGCAUAAUGGGCUAAUUAGAUUUUUUUUUUUAUCCAAUGAAUGCUAUUCAGCUGUUCUUAAUUAUGUGUUCAUAGGCAAGACCAUUUUCUUAAGUACUUUCGUUGCCUUCCAAGUUUCCAAAGAACAAACAGAGCACAAACAAAUAUAACGGAACAGCAAUGAUGACAAUAAAUAAUUGGCAAAGAAAGAAAGAAAAAAGUUUGCAUGAUUUCAAGGAAUUGUAAAAUCUGAAGACUUUCAACAGGAAUUAUAAAAUCUGAAGACUUUCAACAUGCAAGUGUUGCCCCUUUUGAUGAAAUUUCAUCAUAAAAUGCUUGCAAAGAAUUAUAAAAUUUUAGAGAACAAGCGAACUCUCAAACAAAAUACUCAAAUUAAAUUAAAUUAGACCAAAAGACACUCAAUGACGCAAAAUCUGCCAUUCUAAAUAAUUGAGAUGAAAUUGUGAAACAACCCACAAGAUCACAUAAAUAAAAUAAGAAUUAAUUACCAGCUUUGACUUUCUUCUCCAAAUUCGCGACUCCAAGACAUAAGAAGCCAAUGAAAUUAGUCGUAACCCAUAAAGUACGACGACGACCCCGCCAAUAGCUGAAAAUAAAAUACUUAUUCAUCAAUUUAAACUAACUUUAUAACAAAUAUCUUAUCGAUAUUUUAUUUAAAAAAAGCAAAUUUGUAAAAUUUUUCCAUGGGAGAUAGAGGGUAAUAUGUAUAUCCGUACCUUUUCAGCAUGUAAUUGUUGUAUGGUCGUGUUAAGAUCAUUAUUUGCCCAACGCCGUUGAUCCUCUGACUCUCCAUACGAGACGCUUACUCUCGGAGGUGUGUUUGAUUCUCCUGAAGUGAAAGUCUUCAUCUUGGGACAACCAAUCACUUCCAGAUAUUCCAGAGAUGGGAAUUUGAAGGUGUAAUUGGCAGAGCAGAAACUUGUGAGACUGUCUAAAUCACACAGAAUCAACGCCUUCAAUUUGCUGAAAACAAUCUCUUCUAUGUCAACUCCUUCUUUGUCAUUUAUUACCACCUCUGUCAUUGCUCUGCAUCCAUAUACUUGCACUGUUACGAGUCGCACCAGAGUUUUUGCUGUGGAGGAUGUUACUAAGUGUAUCAAUUCCUUGCAACCGACAGCUACCAGUUUUGUUAGGUUCCGAAAAGAUACCGAUGAUGAUGGCAAUAGACUUAACAGAUUUUGACAAUGAUAUACUUUUAGAAUUUCAAGAUAUUGAAAAAUGGAGUCAAGUUUGGAGUCUUGUUUACAUAGCUGCUUCAGAUGAUUAAGGUGGCCCAGCUCUAUACAUUUUAUCAUUGCCAACUUCCUCAAACGUUUCUCUAAGCAUCCUUCCGUUGAAAAUACCUCUUCGUAUGAACAAUGAUACAGUAAGAGUAAUUCGAGAUUGUGAAAUCUCUCAAGUACAUUCCUGAUUGGAAAACAAGCCGAGUCAUCAUAAGUUAUGUCUAGUUUUUUAAGAUUACCAAAAAGGUGUGGGAAAUCGGCGUCCAAAAUCAUCUUCACAUCUUUUCCGCUUAACGCCAGUGACUCCAAGUUGGGUAAGAUCUGAUCAUCGUCAAUCACGUAGUAACUAAUCAGUCAGUUGAUGUUCUCUCCAAUAAUUUUGAGUAAUCCAAUCAUAUGCAGCGACCUUAUAGUACUUGUUGUAGAUUAUAUAUAUUUUACCCAAAAAAAAACAAAAAGAAAGGAAAAAUUGAAUUAGUGAUAAAAUUCAUUCUAGGAUUUUUGUAUGUUAAUUUUAGAGAUAAGAGAGAAAUUAGAAAAAAAAAAAGGAUGAUUUAUACUGGCAUAAAUAUAUUUUAUUGCACAAUAAUAAAUUAUUAAUUUAUAUUGUAAGUGAUUAUAUAUGAGAAAACUGAGGAUUCUUUUAUAAUGCUAUACCUAAAAUAAUUCAUCUAAUUAUUAAUUUAGUACAUUGAUCCCUUAGUCAAGACUAGCAAAAAUAUUAAUUUUGUAAUAAAAGUUUUCAAUUUAUUGAGUAUUAAUUUAUUGAUGUUUUGUUAUAUUUUACAAAGUCAAAAGUCGCUAAUGAUCUAAUUGAUAAGAAAUCUAGAAAGCGGCUUCAUACCUUUUUGAACAAGAAUAGGGGCCGUUGUGCAGGAAUACCAAGUUGAUCAUCCUCAUUAUUCUGUGAUGAAUCUGCAGCGAAUGUCUUCAAUUUGUCACAACCAGACACCACUAAAAUUUUUAGUGCAGGCCAUUCCGAAGUAUGCAUUCCAUGGUAUAAACAUUUAAGUUCUGGUAGCUCUUGGAGUAUAAGAGUGGUCACCCGUUGAAAGACAAAACGAGGGGUCACAUGAUCUACUCUGUCUUCCGAAAUGAUCUCUUGCAAACCCCUACAAUUCACUAUCUCUACUUCUUGGAGAUGCUCAAAGCUUUGAAUCAUAGAAACUAAAAAUAUGUAUUUCAAUUUGUUACAGUGGCACACAAUCAAUCGUGUUAAACUUUGAAAGCGAGGAAGCAUGACCGGACGAUGAUUGUAAUGCCAAAUCUUGUCGACAUUAAUUUCAGAUAUCUCCAAAGCCUCCAAAUUAGGCAACCCUACCUAAAAAAAUAUUAAUUUCUUGUUAGAUCCAACAUCCAUAUGAGAAGGACUUAUUGAAAUUUUCUUCUUUGAUUACAGAUUAAUAAUUCAAGUCAAAAUCAAUUUCCAACUGACAGCUGAGUAUGCAUUCUAAUUCGUAUUACUUGUUAAGAGCUCAAUUAGUGAGUGCGUAAGAUUCUUUUUAUCCUUUUUUUUUCACUUUCUUUCAAUUCUUUAAAUGAUUUAAUUAUUUUCCGCGUAUGACUUCAAAAGAGAAUGCACAAUAGCAUAAAGAAAGUGUUAGCCUACGCACCUUGCCGUUGAAAAGCAGUGUUUCCAAAUUGAUUUCGUUGGAGCAAGAACUUGUCAAUUCCUCUUGCAGCCCUUGUCUGUUUGGUGAUGCUGAAGGAGUCUUCAAAUUACGGAAAAAAGUUGUAACCUCUGGAAGAUUUCCCAAACUCAAAGAUCUUAAUUGAGCCAACUCUAUCUUCUCAGUAGCAUUAUUGUUGUCAACAUCAGCAUCUCCCUCAGUAGCAAAAAUCUCUUUCAUCUUGCUGCAAUUAAUAACUGCAAUUCUCUCAAGUCUUGGAAGGCAUUUUGCAGUGGAGAGCCAGAAGAUAUUACUCAACUCAUUACAAUUUUCUACUUUUAUUGUUUUGAGUUUAUUGAAAGACUACUUUGAGUCGAUCAAUGCAUAUCCUCUCCAUGUUGAUCAAAUUGUGAAGAGUCAGUGACUCCAAAAGAGGAAAGGCAUCACAAGCGACCAUCUCCAUUGAGUCGACAAUACAAAAGAAGUCAGGAUUAUUUUGAACCCAGAGAAACUUCAAUUGUGGAAAGCCCUUUGUGUCCAAAUCGAAAAGAACAUUUUUGACACCUUGUAGCUUGUCCAACCAUAAGUAUUCAACGUUAUUGAUGGCCUGCAAUUUCAUGGAGCAAAUGUCCGUAAAAUCAAGCUUGAGCUUCAAUUCUCUUAAACACUCAUGAUUAUCGUUGAUCAAAAAGUUCGACCGACUGCGAAACCAAUCUUUUGCAACAGGCAAGGAAGCCAUGAAUGACUCAUUUCCAAUAGAUAUUUUGAACCUUUCGAGCUUUCUGGCCAAAAAGCCUUCCGGUAAAAUACUGUCAUUUUUAACAUCAAUUUCUAGAGUGGUUAGCCAAGGUAAAAGCAUCAAUUCAUCAAGGCUUGCAUUACUUCUUUCACUGUUGGCUCUUUCAACCUCCCAUUCAACGGAGCAAUUACCCAUAUACAAUUCUUCUAAUCGGAUUAAGCUCGAUAUGACAUCUGGGGCAAUAACUUUUAGACGGAAACAGUCUCUUAAAUCUAACAGCCUUAGCUUAGUCAGUUGCCCUAGUGCUUUUGGUAACUCUACAAUAUCAGACCACACAAAGCUAAGGAUUUCUAGAUUUUCCAACUUUCCAAUAAUGGCUAUGUCCAUGUCUCCCAAAAUGCUUUGAUCAAGACAAAGCGUCCGAAGAUUUACUAGAUGAUCAAUUGAAGAUGGCAAUGGCAAUAACUGCAUUCUAGUCAAAUCCAAAACCCGAAGCUUUUUUGUCCUUUCGAAGAAGUUCUCAGGAACAUUGGGCGCGACAAAAGAGUUCUUGGGAGACAUGAGUAAAAAUUCAAGUUGUGGAGAUUCCAACACUUCGGGAAUGUCAUUAAUAAUACUAUCUUUUAAAAAAAUUGCAGGAUAUUUUUUUAAUGCAUCUGCAUCUGGCCAUUUCCACACAUCCUCAUUUCUAACCGCAAAUGCAAUUUUGUCACCACAUGCAAUUGAAAUGGCAACAUCGCGAACAACAUCAUGCAUGGAAAAUAAUUUACUGCUACCAUCCUCAAGCAACAAACAAGAGUCUCUUAGUUGAUUGACCCAUGCAUCUAAUUUGUUAUGUGCAUCUUCUAGCUUAUGGACACUUUCAAAUGCACCCAAGCCCACGCUAUAUUUGAACAAGUCCAUAAUUGAAGUUGGUGUAAUUAGACUACACAGUAAAAAAGUUUUCUUGAGUUGCUCACCUCUUAAGUACUUGUAACUCAGCUCAAUUGUUGAGUAUGCCUCUACUGGUACUCCUCCGUCGAAGCUUGCCUCUGAAGGCGUUUGGAGUUCUUGCAAGGCGUUCUUCCACACAGGCAGCUCUUUGUUUCUCAGUGCCCUUGCUACUGUGGUUAGGGCAAUAGGCAAACCUCCACAUGCCUUGGCUACACUUGUUGCUGUAGAUUUUAACUCACGAUUUUCAACAUAAUUACCAGCCAUUAUCUUGAACAAUCUCCAAGCUUCUUGCUCAUUUAGAAUGCCAAUCAAGAAGUUAUUUUCUGAUCCCAUACUUAACAAGACAUUACGAUCCCUUGCUGUUAAUAAUAAUUUGCAUCCUCUAUUAUCAUCGCCAAAAGGAAUUCCAACAGUCUCUAAAUCAAGAUAUUUCCAGAUGUUGUCCAGAAUCACAAGGAUCUUCUUGUCAUUCUUCAAUCGUUCAUAAAGUUUACUAGCUCUUCUAGAUUCAGCCUCCUCGGACAACUCCAGACCUAAUUUCUCUGCAAUUUCCCCUUGAAUCUUUUUUAUGUUUGGAGUUUGGGAAACCUCCAAAAAAACCACCAUAUCAUAAAGCUUGUCUUCAAUGGCUCGCCUAGCAAACUCCUUCACCAGUGUCGUCUUUCCAAUGCCGCCCAUGCCGUACACUCCAAUGAUGCUGACAUUAACAUCAGUCAAAGCAUUUUGCAUUGCCUCCAAAGUAGAAAGUCUUGAUUCAAAGGCUUCGUAGCCUUUGUUAGACUUUACCCAUAUCUCCUCUAGAAUAGGACGGUAGGAAACACUAUUAUCAAAUUUCCCAGCUUCUUCUUUGAGUUCAACAAGGCCCUUCACCUCUGUUUCUGCUUUCUUGCUAAGCUGAUAGCGGGUCUUCAAAUUAGGACACAAGCCCAUGAGACAUGGCUUAUUUGUUGUCUCCUCAUCAUCAAUAAAUUUGGCUGCCUGCUCAAUGGUGUUGUUCGCACUAACCAGCCACUUCUCAACCUUCUCUUCAAUAUUUUCCCCUUUUCUUUCAGCCUCAGAAACCCUGUGCUGAAUGCUUCUCCUUUCAUCCUUGAGCUUGUCUAUUUCUGCCUUGAGAUUCUCAACGUUGGCUUUAUAGUUACGCAAAUAACCAAGUCGGCGUUCUGUUGGAGGAGCCAAGCAUUUCACAAAUUCUGAAACAACGGUAACAAUGCUUUCCACCAUCCUGGAUCCCUUUUCUUUUUUUCAAAGUUCUGACAAGAAAAUAAACAACGAGCGAAACACAGAGAGAGUGAAAAAAAGAAAAAGAAAAAAAGCUAAACACAGAGAGAGUGAAAGAAAAACUGUUAUGGAUCUGGUGAGAAGAUGGAAACAAGGAAAAGGUUUCUAGUUCAAAAACUGAUUGAAUUAAUAUAAGGAAUGAUUUAGAUAAUAGAGGCGAAGGGAACCAAUCAAAAUAACUGAAGUAUUGACCAGAAGAAAGACGGAAAAAAUAUUGACUGAGAUGGAAAAAAUGAAGAUAUCUUGACACGGUAGAAGUACAAAGGGUAGAUAUGGAACCAAACAAAGACAACAGCAGGCCACAACAAGAUUGGGAAUGGAGAGAAACUAAUUAACAAAGACUGGAGAUUACAACAAAACAGAUGCCGAGAGAAAACUUGAUCCAGUGAAAUUCAAGAGAGUUGACAGCAAAAGGGAGCAAAGAUUAAUAACAAAACAACAGUGACUACAAUGGACAAAAGCAUAUGCGUUUCUUGAUUGAGAAUGAGUGCAAAGAAUGACCUUUUAAGGAGGUUCUGAAGCUGAAGAAUAUAUGAUUUGCUAAAAUUUCAAGAAUGAUAUAAACUCUGUAACUUUAACAAGUGAAGAAUAAAAGAAUAAUGGUUUGUCAUCCUCACAAUGAAGAUCAUCGACGAGAUUAAAAGCUGAAAGUGACCCAUUUGAAAAGCCAAAGUUCAAGUUCCUUGGCUAAGUUCGUAAGUGAAGCAAAGAAUAAUAAAUAAAUAAAGAUCAAGGGAUGGGAAUAAAGUCAUCUUCAGAAAGUUGCAGAAAGAUUUCUGCCGACAUUGUCAAAAUUAUUAUUUGGUAAACCUGAUGUAUUAUUAGUAUAAAACAGAGUAGGUGAAACACGUACUUACUACUUAGUUCAAGUUCCUUGGCUAAGUUCGUAAGUGAAGCAAAGAAUAAUAAAUAAAUAAAGAUCAAGGGAUGGGAAUAAAGUCAUCUUCAGAAAGUUGCAGAAAGAUUUCUGCCGACAUUGUCAAAAUUAUUAUUUGGUAAACCUGAUGUAUUAUUAGUAUAAAACAGAGUAGGUGAAACACGUACUUACUACUUAGACUGAUUAGCAUCUGAAAUUUUAUGAUCAUUAUGUGUUGCAUUUUACUUUAUACAUUACGUAACACAUUUUAAUUUAGCCAAUUUUGAUAAAAACACAAUUAGUGGUUUUAGACAAUGAAAAAAAUAAUAUAGAAGUAGAAAAUGAGGGCAAAACUACGUUGCAAUGGGGGUUUGGUACCUCUUUCUCUUGUCUUUUUCAGGGUUAAUUACAGUAAAAUCCUGUUAUUUGUUAUAAAUACAAAAAAGUUAAAAACUUUUAAAUUUUCACACAUUAGUCUUAUACCCAAAAAUUUUCAAUUGCAUUAAUGCUUCUGGAAGCCACGAUUUGUUUAGAAUUCAAGCACCUUUAAAUUCAAGCACUUACUCUCUUUAUACACACAAACACCAGUAAAUUAAAAGAAAUUUUUUUUGAGUUGUGUGAUUGAAUUUGAGGCGCAAAACUUUAAUAGAAAAUAAAUGCAAUUGCAUGCUUUCUUUUUUACUUUGUAAAACUCCUAAUUUAAUAACCCAUUUAUGACACAAUUAAUUAUACUAAUUGGCUUAUAUUUUAAUUGAUAGAUAUGUGUUGAAUUGUCAUAUCUAUUGUUGUGCAUGUGCGAUGUUAGGUACAGAGAAUAAAGAAUAGAAAAUACUUAUUUUUUAGUUUAUUUUUACAAAGAAAAUUUUUAAAUUAUUUUCAAAUAGAGUAAUUGUUUAUAAUUUUUUUUACCCUUCUCUUAGUUAAGUUAAUGAAAGAUCUUAACCGUAUGGAUGUGUGCUAAUGACUAUUUAAACUACUGGGGUAGAGUAACAAAUAUCAAUUUAUUUAAUUGUGCAAUUAAAUUUAUUCUUUUUAUUUAAGGACAAAAAAUACAAACUCAUUGUUCAAACAAACAAAAAUUAUUUUACAAAUUCAUAAAUUAACACUUUAUUAUUCGUAGUAAAUUAACAUAUUUUUACUACAUAAUUAAAUAAUUGAUAGUAGGUUAAAUAAAUCUAUGUUACAAAAAAAAUUAACUACAUAGAAUAUCAAAUUAAAUUUAUGUUCGUAUUUUGUACAUUACAUUUACUUGAGAUAGUAAAAUCUCUUGUGUUGGAAUAAAAAAGGUUAUGGGGUUUGAACCUUGGUCACAUGGGUGAGAGGAAAAUUGGUUGUUGUUAUGUUAAAUUAAAAAAAAUCAUAUUUAUAUUUAUCAUUAAUUAUGGUUCAUAAAUAAUAACAUAGUUUAACUAUAUAUUAAAUUUUUUAAUUUGUUAAUUAAUAAGAAAAUUUAUUAAUUUAAAUAGAUAUUAAUAAAUGUAAGAAUAAGUCAUUUAAUUGGAAAAAAAUAUUAUGGAAUUCUAUGUCAUAAUUUUAAAAAUUCUGAUUUUUCUUAUUUUGCAUGAACAAGAAGAGCUUUUAAUGUUAAUAACCUAAAAUCACAUUUAAGCCAUUAUACAACUCCUGCGUUACAUCCAACGGUAAAUUAGAAAAAGACAAAAAAUGGGGCACCAAACCCCAGGGGUAACAUAGCUGGACCUAGAAAAUGAAUGGAACUAUACUCAUCUUCAUUUUGGAAAAUCAAGUCAAAAAAAAAAAAUCCACAUGCUUUUGUUAAAGUUAAAAGCUACAUAAAUAAUAUCACAGAGGCUUCUAUUGAAGUUGAUGUGAAUCACAGCUUUGACGCUUGUAAAUGAAUUUAACAAACAAAACACAAUUAGUGGUUUUAGACAACGGAAAAAAUAAUACAGAAGUAGAAAAUGAAUGGAACUACACCCAUCUUCAUCUUGGAAAAUCAAGUCAAAAAAACAAAAAUCCACAUGCUUCUGUUAAAGUUAAAAGCUACAUAAAUAUAUAAUAUCACAGAAGCUUCUGUUGAAAGUUGAUGUGAAUCACAGCUUUGACGCUUGUAAUACAAGGAGCGCGCAAACUUCAGUUUAGGUGUAUACAUUACUUGUCUUUCAAGCUUGAAAUGAUUAUAGAUAAAAAACAAAAGCAAACAUACAGAUGGGCCAUUCAGUUCACAUAAUUUGACAAAAUUAUUAUUAUUUUGAAAUUUCGGUCAUUCACUCAUUUUCAUUUUCACUUUCACUUUUGAUUCAAUUUAACCAGUUAAUGUUGACAAAAUAAAAUGCUAAUAAAAGGCUAAGGCUACUAUUUUGAUGAACUAAUUAUCUCAGGAAUAGAAGCAUCUAUAAGCAUGCAUGGGUGGCCACAUGAUAAUUACUAUCAAGAGCGAAAGAGUUAAAAAUUUCUUUGUAACGUAAGCUUUUCCAGAUCGUGAAUAUUCUGAAGCAAACCGUAAACAGUCAAUCCAUAAAAAAUGGGAUAAUAAAUUUCAACUUCCCUUCCAAAUAGAAUGACAACCUCAAUUUCUAUACUUCCAUUUUUGUUCAAAAAAUUGUCUUCUUAACAGUAAAUGGAUAAAUUGAUGUUUUCACUAAAUGACAUGAAGAUCGUAAUUCAAGUUUACAAAUCUGGCCGUGCUGCCAUACGAUGGCAAAGUUCUUUUUGCUUAAUAUCAAUUCCUCCAAGUUGGAAUCUUUCUCUGUCGGGGACACUUCAAAGUAAUAAACUAACAAGAUCGUUUAUCAAAUUUCAUUUGCCUACAAGACCAAUUUCACCUCAGAAGAAAAUCAGAAUGAUUACAAGACUUCCCAAUGAGACAGUAUUACAUCUUCAAUUCUUAAAAGACGCUAGAAUAUUAAUUCGCUACAUAUAAUCAAGAUAUUAGUUAAGAACUGAGUUUAUAUUGUUUGGUUGCUCAGAAAGUAUGAGAAACAGAGAGAAAAUGAAGAAUGAAUUGUAACUGUAUUAUUAUAUGUAUUCGUUCAUUACACAUAUAUAUUCUCAGAUCUAAUGAAUUCUAAAAUGUUGUACACAUACACUGUACAUGUUAGCUGAAUCUAGGCCUUUUACAAGAGAUUCUUAACAAAUUUAACUAACUUGCGGAAACAAACUUAACUAGCUCACACGUGUAACAAGCUCAACUAGCUCACUAUAUUAAUAAGCCUCCUCAAACUCAAGGUCUAGGAGACACAUUGAGCUUGAAUCUAAGAUACUUAAAUUGAUCAAGAGCUAUCUACUACUUGAUCACAACUUGGGACAUGAUGAAUUUGGUGAAUAUAUCUACUGCUUGAUCACAACUUGGGACAUGAUGAAUUUGAAGUUCUUUCUAUGCUAUGUGCUUCAAACAAAAUGCAAACCAAGUUCAAUGUUUUCGGUUUUGGAAUGAUAUCUUGGAUUGCUGGCCAAUGCUUCUGCACUCUUGUUAUCACAAUUAAGCACCGGGGUUUGAAGCAAUGGUAUUUGUAAUUCUUUAAGCAAGUAGGUUAUCCAAAGCACUUCAAAGGUAGCCAAAGCCAAGGCUUUCACAAUUUUCAGCAUGUCUUCCUUGUUCUUGUGCCUAUUCUCAUCCUCUAAAAUAGAGGGUGCAACAUCGUCAAAGACCAGGUACUCCAUUAGGAUAUUGUUUGUCAGAUUGAUGAUGAGUUGACCUUACGAGUUAGGUAGACUUUCAAGUAGAAGCUCCACACGUUCAAUUUCUUCUAUUUUGUGACCCAACAAUGUAAAUUGUGAAAAUAAAGUUUUUAGAGUGUUGAUAUGGUCAGUUGACGAUGUGGUUUCCACAAUUCGAAAAGUAUAGAGUCUCCUCUUCAAGAAGAUCUUGUUGUGCAAUGACUUGGCCUCGUACAAUUUUAUGACAGUAUCUCAAAUACCCUUUGCUAUCUUUUUUUCCGCAACACUAGAUAACACCCCAUUUGCAAGUGCCAAGUAUAAAUCAGCAAUUGCAUUGCCAUCCAUCUCAUUCCACUUAUCAUUAAUGAUUCUUGUAGGCCUUUCUCCAAUUGCUUCUAAGCAAUUAUUUUUCCUCAAAAUUGCCCACAUUUUUAUUUUCCACAUCGAGAAAUUACUCCUGUUGAGCUUUUCAAUUUCAAACUUUGCUGUCAUUUUGUUGAUAAGUACCAUACACAAGUUAGUGUACCACCUUAAAUAGUUGCGAGUGAUCGUAUAUGUGAAAAUGCACACCAAGUUCCCAAGAAAGACUGGAGAAGUCACAAUGGUCCCACUUAAAACCCAACCUCCUUAGGUUGUUAUCGCCUUUGUGACAUAACUUUCUUAAACAUGUACAAAACCACACGGUUACUCCACUCACACCAUUAUUCCCUGCUUUGCAACACAAAAUUCUUGGAUCGCACCCAUUGUUUCACGUGAACAGUAAUCGUAUAUGUGAAUAGUACUAUAUACAUGAACAGUGCCGUCUACGUGAACAAUACCCAAACUUCAAAAUAUACAACUAAUGGCUCUGAUACCACUGUUAGAAAAUUAAUAGGUGAAGCAAAUACACAACUAAAGUGAAAUUGAGAAAUAUUAAGACAACGGAAUCAUAUAGGGACACCAGAAUUUACAUGGUACGACUUUUAGUCUAUUUCAAUGGGAGAAGAUAGAAAGAUAAAAUUUUACUAGUGAAAAGAGGAUUACAAAUAUUGUAAUAUUUUACCUCACUACCCAGAACCCCAAUACACCCAAUCUCUCAUAUUACUAUAACAAGAACUUAAAGCUCUGACACUCUCAACUCUCUACUUAUCUCUCUUAAGAGAAGAAAUAAGAUGAAAAAAAAAAAGGAUGCUGAGAUGAGGAGGAGCAUCCUCCUUUUAUAGACAAAAUUGGCUACCGUUCAUGCAAUAUAUUAUAUUAUAUUACAUAUAUAAUUUUUUUUUCAAAUUAUGUGGCACUGAAUUCGGUGUUGCUUUUGUUAAUUAAAUUUGGGGGCUUUUGUGCCCACCAACUUUGACAAAAACUUAUAUAAAGAAAAGCAUAUCAAAUUCCACCUAUCUAAGGCCCCGUACUAUAUGUUAUUAAAGUACUAUAACUUUUAAGGGACAUCUAUUAUAAACAAAAAAAAUUAUAACUAUGAAAUAAAAGUUGAUAAUGUGGAGUAAAUAUAAUUUUUUUAAAUAAUAAUCUUAAACAAAAAUAGUAAAUAUAUGAUAGGUUUUUCAUCAUAUAAGUGCGGGACCAAAUCAACUUAACUUUUAAUUUACAGCAACUAGUGUUUACCAAACACUUUAAUGUUAUAAGUUAAAAAUUAUAGCUAUCCAACCUCAAUACCAAAUAGAUCAUAAGAGGCACAAGACUUUUGGCUAUUUAGGUCGUUACUAAUUAGCUUAUUAGUCUCGAAUAGCUGCAACUUUCAAGGCGGUUAGAUUUCAGAAAGAUGCUGAGGAUGGUACAAGAUUUAUCAAACUGUAUUGACAAGUCAAGAUUGGGAAAAAUGAGUUUCCAUAAAUGCUCCAUUAUCCACCAAAGUUCAUUUAGUUUUUUAUCUAUAUGAGCCUCUCAGCUCCUCAACCUUUCCACACGAAAAUAUUUCUUUCCAAGAAUACAAGCUUUUUCAAAUUGUGAAUAUUCUCCAGCAAACCAACUUGGAAACAAUUGAUCCAUCAAUAUAUAUAUAUAUAUAUAUAUAUAUAUAGCAUGAAGAAUUUUGAUGAUUACAAAGCCGACCCUGCUGCCAUGUAUAUGAUGGUGAAGUACGUUCCCCUUUAUGUCAAUUCCUCCAAGUGGGAAUCUUUCUAUUUUUCUAAUGGAUCAUAUGUGAAGCUCCCUCAUAAAUUAUAAUACCAUACAAGGGGAAGGCAAUUAUAUAAUGUGCUCAUAUAUACACAUUGCGGAAGCAAUACUAGAUACUUUUCUAGCAUACUUUCAUGAAAACUUAAGAAGGGCUUUCACUAAGGAGAAAAUAUCUCAAUUGAGAAAAUAUUGAAUAUUAUUUAAGGAAAGCUUUUGUGUGCUAAUAAACUAUGAAUAAUAAGCCUAUAUAUUCUAGUAACUCACUUAAUCCUAAAUCUUCUCAAAUAAGAGAAAUAAUCUAAAAUCCCAGUUAGAUUAGAAUUAAAAAUAUAACUCAAAUAAACCUAAUAAAGUAAGAUAAACUCUAAUAAUAUUAAGGAAAAUUUACACUCGUCCACUUGUUUGUUUUGCUUUUUUUAAAAAUACACAAACACUUUUUUUUUCAGCAUGCCACCUGAAGUUUGCUUUUUGUUGCAUUCGUCCACUUCCGUCUAAUUUCCGUUAGUGGAUUUAAUGGAAUGUUAACGAAAUGACCUUUUUACCCCUCAAAAUUACAAUUUAACCCAAAAUAAAUAGAAAUUGGAGAUAAAUUGGAUGAAUUUAAUUUUUUUCAAAGGUGGAUGCUAGAAAUUGGAGGAAAAUAGUGUUGGUUGCUUGCUAAAUUUAUUACCNNNNNNNNNNNNNNNNNNNNNNNNNNNNNNNNNNNNNNNNNNNNNNNNNNNNNNNNNNNNNNNNNNNNNNNNNNNNNNNNNNNNNNNNNNNNNNNNNNNNNNNNNNNNNNNNNNNNNNNNNNNNNNNNNNNNNNNNNNNNNNNNNNNNNNNNNNNNNNNNNNNNNNNNNNNNNNNNNNNNNNNNNNNNNNNNNNNNNNNNNNNNNNNNNNNNNNNNNNNNNNNNNNNNNNNNNNNNNNNNNNNNNNNNNNNNNNNNNNNNNNNNNNNNNNNNNNNNNNNNNNNNNNNNNNNNNNNNNNNNNNNNNNNNNNNNNNNNNNNNNNNNNNNNNNNNNNNNNNNNNNNNNNNNNNNNNNNNNNNNNNNNNNNNNNNNNNNNNNNNNNNNNNNNNNNNNNNNNNNNNNNNNNNNNNNNNNNNNNNNNNNNNNNNNNNNNNNNNNNNNNNNNNNNNNNNNNNNNNNNNNNNNNNNNNNNNNNNNNNNNNNNNNNNNNNNNNNNNNNNNNNNNNNNNNNNNNNNNNNNNNNNNNNNNNNNNNNNNNNNNNNNNNNNNNNNNNNNNNNNNNNNNNNNNNNNNNNNNNNNNNNNNNNNNNNNNNNNNNNNNNNNNNNNNNNNNNNNNNNNNNNNNNNNNNNNNNNNNNNNNNNNNNNNNNNNNNNNNNNNNNNNNNNNNNNNNNNNNNNNNNNNNNNNNNNNNNNNNNNNNNNNNNNNNNNNNNNNNNNNNNNNNNNNNNNNNNNNNNNNNNNNNNNNNNNNNNNNNNNNNNNNNNNNNNNNNNNNNNNNNNNNNNNNNNNNNNNNNNNNNNNNNNNNNNNNNNNNNNNNNNNNNNNNNNNNNNNNNNNNNNNNNNNNNNNNNNNNNNNNNNNNNNNNNNNNNNNNNNNNNNNNNNNNNNNNNNNNNNNNNNNNNNNNNNNNNNNNNNNNNNNNNNNNNNNNNNNNNNNNNNNNNNNNNNNNNNNNNNNNNNNNNNNNNNNNNNNNNNNNNNNNNNNNNNNNNNNNNNNNNNNNNNNNNNNNNNNNNNNNNNNNNNNNNNNNNNNNNNNNNNNNNNNNNNNNNNNNNNNNNNNNNNNNNNNNNNNNNNNNNNNNNNNNNNNNNNNNNNNNNNNNNNNNNNNNNNNNNNNNNNNNNNNNNNNNNNNNNNNNNNNNNNNNNNNNNNNNNNNNNNNNNNNNNNNNNNNNNNNNNNNNNNNNNNNNNNNNNNNNNNNNNNNNNNNNNNNNNNNNNNNNNNNNNNNNNNNNNNNNNNNNNNNNNNNNNNNNNNNNNNNNNNNNNNNNNNNNNNNNNNNNNNNNNNNNNNNNNNNNNNNNNNNNNNNNNNNNNNNNNNNNNNNNNNNNNNNNNNNNNNNNNNNNNNNNNNNNNNNNNNNNNNNNNNNNNNNNNNNNNNNNNNNNNNNNNNNNNNNNNNNNNNNNNNNNNNNNNNNNNNNNNNNNNNNNNNNNNNNNNNNNNNNNNNNNNNNNNNNNNNNNNNNNNNNNNNNNNNNNNNNNNNNNNNNNNNNNNNNNNNNNNNNNNNNNNNNNNNNNNNNNNNNNNNNNNNNNNNNNNNNNNNNNNNNNNNNNNNNNNNNNNNNNNNNNNNNNNNNNNNNNNNNNNNNNNNNNNNNNNNNNNNNNNNNNNNNNNNNNNNNNNNNNNNNNNNNNNNNNNNNNNNNNNNNNNNNNNNNNNNNNNNNNNNNNNNNNNNNNNNNNNNNNNNNNNNNNNNNNNNNNNNNNNNNNNNNNNNNNNNNNNNNNNNNNNNNNNNNNNNNNNNNNNNNNNNNNNNNNNNNNNNNNNNNNNNNNNNNNNNNNNNNNNNNNNNNNNNNNNNNNNNNNNNNNNNNNNNNNNNNNNNNNNNNNNNNNNNNNNNNNNNNNNNNNNNNNNNNNNNNNNNNNNNNNNNNNNNNNNNNNNNNNNNNNNNNNNNNNGCGCUUUAACAAACACGAUUUUCCUCCAAUAAAAUAAAUACAAAUUUUUUAAAUUUAGUAACAAACAUUAUUUUCCUCCAAUAUCUAGCAUCCACCUUUGAAAAAAAUUAAAUCCAUCCAAUUUAUCUCCAAUUUCUAUUUAUUUUGGGUUAAAUUGUAAUUUUGAGGGGUAAAAAGGUCAUUCCGUUAAAUUCGCUAACGGAAAUAAGACGGAAGUGGACGAAUGCAACAAAAAGCAAACUUCAGGUGGCGCGCUGAAAAACAAAAGUGUUUGUGUAUUUUUGAAAAAAGCAAAACAAACAGGUGGACGGUUGUAAAUUUCCCUAAUAUUAAAUACUAAAUUGACUUAAAAUAUUGUAAUUUCUAAUAUAUUUUAUCCUAUAAGCUUCGUACAUCAUUCUCCUCCUCUUAAAAAAAAAACUCAUCUUCGAGUUUUGCUAAAAACAAAAGAGUACUAUCUCGUGGAUGAAACUUAAAAUAGAGUAGUAAUGUAUCUCGAAGCUCGAACUCAUAGCCUUUCAUACCAAUCUUCCUUGAAACUCGAAAUGUUUUAUACUUUAUCUUCUUCUUGAUUUUAUUAGUCACCCUAUAAAAUGGUAAAGUCAUGUAUGAACAAAUAACUUCUAAAUCAUAUCAACUUUAUCUUGGUCUUCAAGAAUAACUUUCUUAUCUCCACUAUGAAUAGGCAAAAUCAUAUCAAUUAUCUUUGGGUCUUCUUGAAUAAUUAGUUUGCCUUGAACUUUAAAUUCAAUUAUCUCUAGGUCUUUAAGAACAAUAUGCUUGGCUUCACGAAUAAUUGGUAAAACCAUAUCAACUUUGUCAUCUUAAAAAACAAUUGGUGUCUCUUCACCUUGAGCUUCUUGCGCAAUUUUAACUAUAUCGUUAGAUAUAAAAUUCAAAUCAAGAACUAAUUGUACCUCUUUAUUGAAAACUUCAAGUGCAUUUGAAAUAUCUUCAAAAGAAGCUUUAGUGAUAUUCUUUUCUUCCAAUGAUGAAACUAACAAAGAUUACUCUUCUAUAUUAAUAUCUUUAACUUCAUAAUCUAGGGUAAACUCUUUGUUUUCACUUACUGCAGUGGCUAAAUCUUGAACAAUCAAUAUAUCUUUAGUAACUUUAGAGCCUUCAAGUACAAUAUCUUUUUCCAUUGGGAAGUUUUGAUCUUUAUUGGCAUAAGAAAGUUGUUUUUCGAUAUUAGAAUCAUUCAGUGAAGAGAAGUCCUUGAUACAAUCUUACUUCGAUAACAAACUCACAUACUGUAGUUUUGGAAAAAUGAAUAUAUUAAACUCUUGAUCUUUUCUUCUUUGGCUCUCACAAUGCUCUUGUACCCGUUCAAAUCUCUUCAAUGCUUACUUUUUCUCUCUCUUGAUUUGCAAUUCAACUUCUAAAGCAAUGUUAACGAUAUCCCAAAAUUCAUAAGUCGCAACAAUUUGUAACAAAACUCGUUGCUUAAUAUCAGCACGUCAUCCUAUCACGAAUCUGGAAAUUGUAUCUUCAUCGUCUUUAGAAAGAUUCACAUGACAACGAUAAUUUCGAAGUUGAGAUUCACAAAAUUGAAUGGAAUUUAUACCUUGUUGACACUUAUCAAAUUUACGAUGGAUCAUUUGAAAAUAUUCAAGAGGAAUAAAAUAAGCUUUUAUCUUCAUUGUCAUGCUAUGCCAAGUUCGAAUAUGAUCUCUUCCAUGUUGAAUUCGUGCUGGUUGUAAGUUUGUCCACUAUUGUGAUAUAUGUUCCAUCAAUUUUGAGGACAUGUACUCAACAUGUUUAUCCUAUCUUUAAGAGCAUCUUUAAUUUUUUUAUCUUGGAAGAGGAUGGAAAGCUUGCAGCAGAAGUGCACAUUUGUGUACUAGCCUGACCACAAUGAAAGUCACGUAAAAGCAUAAAAGGCUGUUGAAGACGAUUGCUACGACGAAGAUCAGGGGCAGGUGAAUUUGAGUUUGAUGAAGAAGAUGUGGGUGAUAAAUGUGGUGGAGGAGAAAUGGAUAUAUUGGGAGAGGAAGGGUCGAUGCCAAGUGUAGAAGAUUGUAGAUUUUGUGUAGGUUCUGUAGAGGAAUUGUUAGGUGGUGUAAGUGAAGAUGAGGUGAGAUUUGGAUCAAAGUUAGAUAAAGACGUGUGAGAAGUAUUCAAUUGAGUAUUGAGAUCGGAAGUGGAAAAAGGAAAAGUGCUCUCAUGAAAAAUUAUGUCACGACUUGAGAAGCUUUUUUAUUAGAUGGAUAACCUACAAAAAUACACUUACGAGCACGUGGUGGGAAUUUAGUUAAAGGUUGAAUAUUGGUGGCAUAACAAAGAUAACCAAAAACUCGUAAAUGUGUGUAAGUGGGUGGUUUGUUAUAUAAUAUUUCAUAUGCCGAUUUAUAGUGUAACACUGGGGUAAGGAGUCGAUUGAUGAGAUAGGUGGCAGUAAGUAAGCUUUCCCCCCAAAAUUACAAUCGUAGAUGGGCUUGAAAUCGUAAAGCUCUACUUACAUUGAGAAGAUGAUGAUGUUUGUGUUCCACCACACCAUUUUGUUAUGGUGUAUAAAGAUAAGAGGUUUAAAGCAAGAUGCCAGGGCUAGAAAAAAAGGUUUCAUUGGGGUGAACUCUGAGCCAUUAUCAGCUCGUACACAUUUAAUUUGACAAUCAAAUUGAGUGUUAACAAACGUAAUAAAGGAUUUUAGUCAACCUUGAGUUUCAUAUUUGAAUUUCAUAAGAAAAAUCCAAGUAAAUCGACUAUAAUCGUCAACAAUUGUCAAAAAUUAAUGUGCACUUGUGUGAGUUGCAAUUUGAUGAGGACCCAAAAUAUCACAAUGAAUAAGAUCAAAAGAAUGCAUGCUUUCAAUUGAACUGGAAGAAAAAGAUAAUCUAGUUUGCUUUGCCAAAGGACAAAUUUCACAUGAAUGUUGAGAAUCAAACGUAAAAUAAGGAAAUUUUUGUCACAAAAGUUGAGAUGGUGCUUUAGAGGGGUGUCUCAAUCGUUGAUGCCAAGUGAUGGCAGAUGGAGAGGAGACUUGAUAAGAUUUUGGUAGUGAAGAUAACAACUCAGAACGUGGCUCAAGAUAGUACAAUCCUUUAUACUGCUUCCCCAGGCCAAUCAUCCUCUUUGUAGCUAGGUCCUGCAAUGCACAAAAGGUAGGGAAAAAGUGAAUGGAACAAUUUAAAGCUGAUGUGAGUUGACUAACAGGGAGAAGAUUCACAUGAAAAGAAGGUACACAUAGAACAUCUUUAACAUAUAAGUUGUUUGACUGAUGAGCUGACCCAAUACUUGUAAUUUUAGCAUGAGAGCCAUUUGGUAACACCACUAUCAAUGAUUCAAUUCAUUGAAUUAAAAUUUUGCAAGGUGGAUGACGAACAAAAAGGAGUAUAGAUACUUGUAUAAUUUGCACGAGGAUAAUUUUUACUGUUUCGGAAGAAGACUUUAAUUUGUGACAAUUCUUCGGGAGUAAAUUGAUGUGAUAAAUCAGAUGUUUGAACUGUCUUUAUAGGAGUUUGAGAGGAUUUAGUUCCUAUUUGAUUUACAGUAAAUUUAUGGGUUCGAUUUGGUGGUUGAACAUCCUUUCUAUGAAACUUGCGUCCAACAGGAAAACCAAUCAAAUAGUAACAUUUGUCUACUAUAUGAGGGGUGCCAUCACAAUAAGUGCACAAGAGCGGUUUCUUAGAAGAAUGAGAAUUGGACUAGUGUUGGAAAUCAGAUCCUUGUUGUUUAAAAUUUGACUGAGUUUUGACAUUCAUGGCAUGAUUUUGAUCUAUUCCCUUGUGUUCAACUAGCCCUUGUUGCUUUUCUUCUUCACAGAGAAGAGAAUAUGCUUUCUUGACUAUUGGUAAAGGCUGCAUCAACAUGAUUUGCCCUCUGAUAGCUGAAUAUUUUUCAUUCAAGCCCAUAAGAAAUUGUCUGAGCCUCAUUUUUUUCAUCUCUAUCAUUUAGAUGUUUUAUUCCUCCACAAUUACAAGGAAUGGGUGGGGUACACAUUUUCAAUUCAUCCCACAAGGUCUUUAUUUUGGUGUAAUAAGUAAAAAUGGAAUCUUGGUUUUGUUUCAAUUUAAUGAUGAGAUGUUGAACUUGAUAAUGAUGAGAAAAAUCACCUUGUGAGAAGCGUUCUUGUAGAUCCGCCGAGAUUUCUAAAGGCGUUUCCACGUAGAGAACACUGUUGGCAAGGUCUGGACUUAACGAGUUGAAGAUCCAAGAGAGAACCAUAUCAUUACAAAGUUGCCAUAUUUGAUAUGUAGCAUCGGUUUCAUUUGGUGUCGAUAAGGUUCCUUUGAUGAACCCUAAUUUGUUUUUGGCAUGUUUUUGGCAUUAAGACUUACCAACAUUGAUCGCCUCCAAAUAGCAUAAUUGGUUCCAUCAAGAACCUUUGGAAUAAGCAUCAUCCCUGGAGGGUCAGAGGCAUGAAUGAAGAGUGGAUUAGAUGGAUCUAUGGAUGGAAGAGACAUGACUUGAUCAAUAGGCGAUUGAGUUCCUUGACCAAUAAUAGAAUUUGUAGUGGAAAUAGUUUGGAUGACAAUAGUAGAAUCAGUAUAGAAAAGAGUUGCGGAAGCUUUGUUUUAGAGGUGUUAAGGUCAACGCUCUGAUACCAUGAAAAACUUAAGAAGAUUCCUUGUUUUCAUACAUUAUAGGAAGAUAUUACAUGAAUAUAUAACAGAGCUAAUAAGCUACAUAAGCAAAUGAAUAAAUCUAAUAUCUAAUUCCUAUAUCAAAGGGAUCAAAUAAAAUAAAUACAAUAAGUCAAGAGAAUCUCUUGACAAAAAUCAAUUACAUAAAUUAAGGGAAAUCAAUCUUAACAGUAAAGAGAAAACAAAAUAGACAAAUCCAUGAGAUCAAGAAAAAAAAUAACAAGUAAAUCAAACAGCCACUGAGUUAUAUGAACUAACCUUCCUUCAAAUUACGAGCCAACAAUCAUCUGUAUUAUUGUGCCUUGCCACCUCUUGAAAAUCAUGAACUUUGGCCACUCUUUUCUAUCUAUGGAGCUGGUGCUCACACUGAACAAAUUUAAUUGAGAAAAAAAAAGUUAACACACGAAUUUGCUUUCAAAUAAGUAAUUACUAAAGCACAAAAUCUUUACCAAAAUAAAAAAUUCUCAUUCCUAACAGUUGUGCAAAUUUUAUUGAACUCGCAAGUGCACGAAUCUAUUGUAGAAUAGAUCAAUGGUGACGAGUGUCGAUCCCACGAGGAGGUGGAUUUUAAUUAUAUAUAGAAUUAAUUUUCUAUGAGGGUGGUUGGAUUUGUGGUGAAAGUGAUUUAGACUAUCUUAGAAUUUAAAUUGGAAUGGCGGAAUUAAAUUAAAGUGGAAACUAUUAUAAUUGAAGUGCUUGGGUAUCUGAAUCCGCAUCAACAUGCACCAUGGGCUAAAUAUUCCUUAUUAAUGUCAAUUAAAUCAUGAGGGGGAUUUCCACACCUCAUGAACCACACUCUAAUCAAUAUGGUGCUAAGGGCUCAUCGUGCCAAAUAAUAAUAACCUUGUACUAGGGAGCCAGUGAAAUCAGAGCGGUAUCUAGACAAAAUUAUUAUUAUUUAUUAACGAAAAGUCAAAACAAUCACAAUAAUUAGAGGGGAAGAGAAAGUAAAUUUACCAAAUAAAGCCCAUGGCAUAUGUUGAGACUUCAUCUUCAACUCAAGCUUGAAAGAAAAUUAGCUACUCAUAAUUGAACUAGGGGCAAAAUGAAAAUUUAUUAAAAUACAUAGAAAAUACAAGAUGGAGAAGGAAUUACAGAAAAUUGAACUCAAAAAAUGAAUUCAAGGAUGCCAAAUUAGGGGGGAGAGCCCCCCUUUUUACAGAUACACUGAGUAAAUCAUGGCCAUCGGAUUAAAAAUAUUUUGGACGCUCAGGAUUGCGCAACGUCAUCAGUCAACAGUAUGUGGUUUGAACAGCAACAUGGUUGGACCACGCGGUUUGAACAAUCAGGCGACUUGAAUAGUUACGCGGUUUGGUUGUAAAUAAUCCCUUGCAUAUGCAUGUACCGUACGCGCGAUUUUUGGUCCACUGACAUGCUGCCACAUCACCGAUCAACAGUGCAUAAGAAUUUUAGUCCAAUAGGAUCAUGACACCUCAUCGGUCAAUAUUACAUCAUCGGUCAAUGCCAUGUCAUCGUUCUGUAUAUGUGAACAGUGUCGUGAACAGUAACAUAGACAGUACCGUACAUGUGAAUAGUACCAUACAUGUGAACAAUGUCAUUUUUUCUUUUAUGCUCCUCCUAAGGUUUUCGAUUGUCCUGAGUUCAAAAGUGAUGUCCGUUUUACUGUCUGAUCUUUCAUUUAUUGUGAAAUGACCAUGAUGCCCCUAAAAUACAUAAAAUAUUUAAUUAAAAUAAAACACACAUAAUUAAAUCACAAGAAGCUUAAAUAAAUAAAAGUAAGGAUGUUCGUAAGACUUGAAAUGUAAAAUGACGAUUUUCGCCUUUAUAAAUAUACACUUUCUAACACUCAACACUAACCCAUCCUUCACUAGAUUCUGAUAAAAAAAACUCAAAAUUCUGAUUAACAAUCCAUAUUUGACCAAAGAUCAACUUUUGGUUCCACCGUGGAAUUGCAAUUUCCCAUUAACAAUCUCUAAAAAGGAUCAUAUAUUUGAUUUUAUCAAUUAAUCAACAACCAAUUUAAAAGAAAAUUCCCAAAAAUUAAUCAAGAAAACCCUAGAUACAAACCAAGAUCCCUAAUCACAAAUUAAAAUGAAAUAAUUGAUUAUUAAGAAAAGAGAAAGACGCCAACUAACCACAUGAGAUUAAAGAGAGCGGCCUAAUUGACUUUGACGAAAUUAUUAUCCCAAGCCUUGAGAUAAUCAUCGAUGCCAGUAGUGGCGAUAUCGUCGGACUUAGAUGCCUUGUCAUGCUUAUUAGAAUACUCGAUGGCCUUAGAGACGGCCUUACUUGUGACAUUGGGAAAAAGGAUAUCGUCAUCGGAACAAUCGUCCUCAAACAUGUGCUUGACAAUGGUUAAUUAGGGUUUAAUUCCAAAAUUUUGAAAGGAAGUGAAAGAGACAAAAAAUAAUGGGGGACAAAAUAAAAAUGAGGAUAUUGCAGGCUUAAUAGGAACGAGAGUGAUAGCUGAACAAGAAGAAUAAAUCAAGCAUGAUGGCAACGGCAAUGUGUGAAUGGUAGAAGAAUGGCAAGAAUGAGGGGUUUAGACAAAGUGUAUGUUAACGGCAAGAAUGAAAGAACUAGCAUUUAGGGAUUUUGAUUUCUAAGUGUGUGUGUGUUUAGUACUUAGAAAAAGAAAAAGGAAUGUUAAAACUUAAAAGUAACCAAAACAGAACAUUUUGCUAGCAUUUUCUUUUCUUUUUUUUCAAUUAUUAAAACGUAACUUUUGUUUUUUUUAAAUAAUAGAUUAAAAUUUGGGUCAAACAUGGUCAAAAUAACUUUUUUAUCACAAUUUUUUGACAGAUCAAAUUUCUAUCACGAUUCUAUCAUAAGUUUGUGAUAUACAAUAAUUUUAUCACAACACCAUCAUAAAUUCGUGGUAGAAAAUAUUUCUAUCACAAAACUAUCAUUGAUCUAUGAUAGAUUGAAAAUUCUAUCACGAGUCCGUCGUAUUAUUAUGAUAAAGGUCAUUUUGCCUAGAAUCCAUUAUAAACUAUAUGUCAUCUAUUGUCUAUUUUCUGGUAGUGAAUGACUGUCAUGUGUUACACUUUUUUGUUAAAUUUUUAUGAUGGUUUUAAUUCAUAACCAUCAUUAAAUAUUCUUUUUAAUGAUGGUUGUCCAAUGAAAUCAUCAUGUUAUAGUAUAUCACUACUAGAAAAAUGGGCUUUACUGACACCAAUUUAGUGUCAGUAAUUACUUUUGCUGACACUUGUUAAUUGUGUCAGUAAUGCUCAAGCCAGAACACACUGACACUAAUCUUUGGUGUCAGUGAUUUUUGCGUCAGUAUUUUAUGUCACUAUAGUAUCACCACCAUAGUGAUACUAUGAUGUUAGUAUCAGUUGAUACUAUUUUUAUGUCAGUAUUUUGUGUCACUAGAGAGUCACAAGGAUAGUGACUCAAUCGCGUUAGCAUUUAAUGAUACUAUUUACAUGUCACUGAUUUACGUGACUACAGUAUCAGGAAUCCACUGACUCAGUAACAUCAAAAAUUCUUAUCGUCAUUUAAAUAAUUAGUGUCAGUAUUAACGGUGCUAUACUGGUUGUGUUUUAUUUUUUUUAAUGACAUUAUUCAUGUUUAUUUUACAAUUAAAAUAAACCCAAAAUAUAUUAAACAUACCAAAUCUUGUAAUGCAAUUCACAUAAUACACAUUUCAAAUACAUCAGUUAAAUUAAAAUAGUUCAAAUACAUCAUUGUUUGGGGGUAAAAAACAUGUUCAAGUACAAAAUUAAGCUUUGAACAAGUAGUAUACAUGAUAAAGUACUAAAUUAAUUUCGGAAAAUUUAGCCAAGAAGAAAAAACAGAUAACAAUGUCACUGAUUUUGGAGUCACUGAUUUUGGAGUCCGCAUAUGCCUUCAUUUUUUUUCCACCUACAAGUAUAUAAAAUCAAUUAGCACACCACAAAAAAUAAAUCACAGAUUUGUUUUAAGGAAAAAUAAUCAUAAAUUACUUGUAUGUUACCUCGCGAUUGUAGGCUGUAAUUAACUUGGCAACGUAUGUAGCCCACUGAUCACGAAGUCGCGAGAGGUCCUUGACAGUGUAUUCCUCAACUCCCUUGAACUUUAAUUUUAAAACAACAAGUUAUUCACAGAAAAUCCUUGACUAAACUACUUAAUUAUCAUUCAUUUAAAUACAUUUGUGUGUUAACAAUUAAAGCCAACAAAUAAACUCCAACAAUGUUACUGUUUUAUCCAAAAUUAUAUAGGUAAAUACUGAACAUCCUGAUCAUGGUAAUUCCAAAAAAAAAAACAACUUGUGAACCCCAACAACAACAAUAUUUGAUAGCCGAAGCAACUUGUGAACCCCAACAGUACGCGAUUUAAUACAAAUAUGGAUGUAGAUACAAAACCUUAAUUAGGAUGACAACUUAUCCUCAUCAAAGUAAAGUACAAGCAACGACACCAUAGCACAUCCCCACUAACAACUACUUUGCAACCCAAACAAUUGUUUUGUGUUGGGAUAUGCAGUACAUUGUGUAUAUCCCAAAUCCUAAUUCAUGUCUAUAUGGAUAUUCAUAUAAUCUAUUCAACAGUAUGCAACAUAGUCACCAUUAUAAGUACCCUCACAGUUUAUAAAAUGCAUACAAUACGCAAUAAAAAGAUAACUGUAAAGAAGCACACAGGUGUUUGAGCUGAUUCAUUUCACAAUAAAUUAAAACAAUAUGAUACAGUAUUGUAAAAAUCAUUUUCAAUACUUAUAUUAUUUUUCAGAACGUUCACAUUUGUGAUGAUAUCUUGCAUGUAUUUCAUCACAUAGUAACCACAUUCAAAGCUGCUCGGCUGCCUCGGACACUACAAGAUCAAAAUUACAUUAAUUUUUUACUGUACGUUAACAAUAAUUAGUUAGGUUUGUCUGAUUUUUACCUUGACAGGUAUCCAUUGAACAUUGGCCUUUGUAUCAGAAUUUAAACUCUGAUGUAUUCGAAUCCCCCUACAAUUAAGAGACAUAGCUAACGUUAGCAAAUAAUUAGCAUAAGACAUAAAAAUAAAAUAGCAUGAUCAAAGAUACAAAUAACAAACUUAACUGAUUGACAAUCUGCAUUAGCUCUUCAUCAGGACUACCUUCCAAAGGAUCAAGGUAAUAGGUUGUACGUCUCACCAUAUCAAUUGCCAAUAACACCCAGUGGGCACUAAACAAAGUAAAAAUUGUUCUCACACAUGAAUUACAAGUAAAAGUGAUUAAUCUACAAAUUAAAGAAUAUUACUAGCAAAUGAAAAAGGUUAUACCCAGGGUUAUACGGGAAUACGAUGACUUGUCCCAAUUCUGCCAAGCCUAACAGUUUUGAAAUGUAUUGAGUCCUGUCUUUGAAACUGACCCUUGGAUAUAGCUUCUCAAAAAGCCCAAACUGAACUGGUUUAGUACUUCCAUUGCUCUCCAUCUCCUCAUACAGGUGUCUAAGAGGAAACAAAUAUAUAUAACGAAGUAAGUUUGAAUAUAGGAAACAAAAUAAUAGGGCCAAGUUUACUAAAACAUAAGUUAUGAUUUACCGUACUUGAUCCAUAUGUUAAUGAUGCAGUUUGAGACCUCUUUAAACUCGAUGAUUUCAGCACAAAUCAUUUUGUCCAAGUGUGUUUCCCAAAUUUCACCAAAGGUUGCUGUGUCAUGCCGAAUCCUGAUCAACCGAGGUAAAGAAUUCUCGAUGAACAUGGUAAACAUGUUCAUAUAUUCACUCAUGUCAUUCUUUCUUGAUCGUGCUGCUGCCCGUGUAUUCUUCACACGUACAUUAAGGUCUUUUGCUGCUGGUCUGAUGACUCGGGGUUCUUUUUUGGCUAUUUCUGCUGGUCUGAUGACUCUGGGUUCUUUUUUGGCUACUUCUGCUGGUAUGAUGACUCUGGGUUCUUUUUUGGCUACUUCUGCUGGUCUGAUGACUGGUGGUUCUUUGUUGGGUACUUUGUCAUGACAGGAGAACUGCCUAUCUAGUACUUUAGGAGUUAGUCGAGGAGACCUUCUCGGUGUGGGCUUUAAAGUAAUUUCACAGUCUACUUUUUCGGGGGUUUGUUGAGGAGUUGCUUGGGAAAUUGUGGUGGGACUGUCCUUGAUUUUACUCUUCACAGAUUUUGGAGUCGACUUACCCGAUGGGAAAUCAGCCUUUGCAAUAAUCAAAAUACAUACCAUUAGUAGUAAUACAUGCAUAUACAAAUGGAAAUAAAAUAAUGACAUGUAACAGGCCAUAUACCUUUCUUUUUCCAAGAGUUUCAGGGGAUUGUUGAUCAUUGUCAAUCUGAACACCAGUGGAAGUUUUGGGCUUAGGAAAGUUAGAACUUCCAACUUCAGUAUUGCUGUACGCAUUUAACUUUGCAUUCAUGCAUUCUAAUUGAGCAGACAUGAAUUGGAAACUCUCUUGAUACAUCUUUCUUUCUCUUGCUAACUCAGUGGCAUCAGGGACAUGAAAGUACAUAGAUGGGGUGACGAAUUGCCCCACUCCUUGCACCCUACUUCCAUUUGGCUGCUUCUGAAGAGCUUCACCUAGAAUGUCAUGUGACCCUUGUGAUUGGAAUGUUCCUUGUUCAACAUGACUCUUCAGCUCAUUCUACAAAAAAAUAUAUUGUAAAUCCGCAAUUACGAGUACAAGACAUCAGCUAAACUAAACUAAUAUCCUUCUUGAAUCUUUAACAAAGAGCAAAUCCAUAUACAGUUCAAAUUGAAACUACAGAAAAUAUUACAAGACAACACCUCAAACAAGUUUUAACCUUUUAAUAUGCGAAGAAAUAAGUUCUGAUGAAAUCUUACUGAGUUUCUGUCAAUUGUAAAUGUUGCCAUACAAUUAUUACAAAAAGCAGUAUAUAUGUACGUUAAUAUCUACCCCCACACACACAUAUUAUAAAGAAAAUUCAUAAGAAUUAAGUAUACAAGUGACUUACUAUUUUCUCAGCAAUUGGCGUCACAUCAGAAUCAUAUUUGCCAUCUCGGUCUGCUCGUGCCAUUAACCAAGCUUCACUGCGAUCAAUCUCCCGCUCAGAAACUCCACUCUCCUUUUUCUGUUACAAGGUGACAUAAAACAUAAAUAAUUGAUUCUAUUAUAUUAUACGCAUUAGAUUACUUAUGUUACUGUAAUUACUCCAUAUUACCACACUUACUUUUCUAUACAACAUGCCACCAUAUCCUGUGCUACCCAAGCGAUGGUUGUAGACAUUCUUUGCUCUUUUGUCUUUUGCCUUCUUACUUUUUUCCUGCACAAACAGUUUAUAUGAAGAACAAAACGUUACCACUGAUUAUUAGUAACUACCAACAAUUAAACUUUGUCAACAAAAAGUUUCCAAUCUUCUUUUUUAAUGCUUGGAUAUUCAAUAGGAGGCAACCUUAGUGACUUUCGAUCGUCCUUGUUAGGUAGAACGAAUUCAGUUGCCAGUUCACAACGAAAGUUUCUUGAUGCAACCCCCAUCCACUUUAAUACUUGGCUUUUGCAUUUCAAGCUCAAUUUGAAUUUUUUCUGUCAACCAAUAACAUGGAUUAGCAACAACUUUAAAAAAAUCUGGAUGUUAUAUAAAAUCUUUAAACAUACUAUGAAACAAGAAAACAAAACCUGAAAAUGAACCCACAAAGUUUCCUUUAUCUCCAGUGGCACACGCCUCCAAUCAUCAAGUAAAAUUGAAAUUGUUUCACGUACAAUGACUCCAAUGUAACUCCUAAGAUCAUUUCUUCCCUUUCCAACCGGAACACCAUAAGAAUUGUACUCAAUUGCAGCUUCAUGACUAACUUCUUGUUUUUGCAAACCUUUUUUUUUGUUUGUUUUCUUCUCCUUGGUCUUCCGUCGAGCUCCGGAAGAGUGAACUCAACAUCGUCAGCCAUCUCCUACAGUCCUGAAAAUGAUUAAAAUAAAUAAGUAUAUCAUUUAGAUUAAUAAGUUAAUACAAGAGCAAUAGCAUAUAAUGAAAUAAAUAAAUCACUUACUGGAAAACUUUGAAAAUUGGUGCUGGAAACUAACUACAAUAAUGCAUUCACUGAUUUUCUAAAUCAAUAUCUAUUGGAAUAGCAUCACAAUCUUUUCUAUCAUAAAUUCCUUCAUCAUCUUUCUCAUCCAACUCACAUACUGGAAGUUUGUUAGAUAAUGGAGAAAAUACAUCCACGUCUUCACAUCUUUCCCCAUUUAACUUAUAAGCUUUGUCGGUCACUGAACAAACUAUUGAUUUAUUAUUCUCUAGCUGGUCCUUUACAUAAAAUACUUGCUUUGCAUGACAAGCCAGAAUAAAGCAAUCAGAUUUAUAGCCAAUCCGAUUUAAAUCAACUACAGUGAAACCUAAAUUGUCAGUGCAAACCCCUCUAUCAUCUACCCAAUCACACUUGAAAAGUGUUUUUUUAACCAUUAGAUAAUCAAGCUGCCAAAUCUCAUCAAUGACUCCAUAAAACGUCAUGUCUCCAAAAUGAGGACUUUUAUCUUUUGAGCUUGAAAUCUGUAGAGUGUUAGCAACAACCCUAACACCACUAUUUUGGGUCAUACGAUUACAGUCCCGGUCCCUCGUUGUAAAAUUGAAGCCAUUUAUCUCGUAGCCAGAGAAGGUCACCACGCUUGAGCGUGGUUUGUUUGCUAACCAGCACACUAUUUCGUCAAUCGGCACAUUAUUUGCUUUAUCAUGUGCCACCUAUAAAUUAAUUUAACAAGUACAGUAAUUAGUAACAUGUAGAAAAAUCUUGUUAAGUUUAUAUCCUAUAUUGUAUUUAGUUAAGUAAUUCUAACCUUUGCUUGUAACCAACCAGAAAAUGUUCGUAUGUGUUCAUUUUGCAACCACGGAUUUGUUUUUGCCUUAUAAGGGUUUCUUGAUGCCAAAUAAUGCAUAUGCUCCCUACCUAGAUGCUCCACAAUUUGGGCAUUCAGCAAGAUCAGCAAAUUCAUUCCUAUACAAAAUGCAGUCAUUUGGACAUGCAUGUAUUUUUUCAUACUCUAAGCCUAGCACUUUCAUUGUUUUCUUAACCUCGUACAUUGACAUAGGUAGAGUAUUAUUAUUUGGCAAAAUAUCAGCAAGGACUUCUAACAAAGCAGAAAACCCUUUAUCGGACCACCCAUAGUUCCCUUUCACAUUGUAAAGUCUCAUUAAACUAGAUAACUUUGAAUGUUUUGCACCCGGGUACAAAGGCUUUUCAGCAUCUUCAAGCAUAUCCUUAAAAGAACUAGGAUCUCUAUCACAAUGCUCGUAAGCAUCUUCGACCAUGUCAAUUAUAUUACUGUAAUCAUGACAUCUAAAUCUUUGACUAUGUGAAUGGUCUUCACAAUUUGUAAAUGUAGAUUUAGAGUCAGUCUCACCAUGCCAAGUCCAAACAAUAUAUCUUGGGAGAAAACCUUUUUCAAAUAAAUGAUCCUUCACUUGUUGAGGAGUAUGAAACUCCAUAUUACAACAAAAGGUGCAAGGACAUCUAAUUGACAUUCGAUUUUCAGCAUUCAAAAUGGCAAAAUCUAAGAAAUCAGCAACUCCAGAACGAUACUCUACAGACAAUCUAUCACAAGUUAUCCAACUUCUGUCCAUUUCAAAUAUUUUACCUGUUCACAUAUGUAAUGUUAGUUUAAGUUUAAUUAAAUUGCAUGAUUAAUUUAAAGUUCAAUGUUAUUAUGAUUAUAGUUGUAAUAAUAAACUUAUAAUUCUGGAAAAUCAUUAAUAGCCCUAUAAAUCAUUAAUUAUAAUAAUAAUUUAGACAAAAUCCUGAAAUUGAAACAAAAUAAGUUUUGAAACUUAAAUAGGAGAUUAAUAGGUAAGAUGGGUGCUAAUGGCUUUUUAAGUAGUCGAACUAAUUCAUAAGUCAAGUAACUAACAAAAGUUAAGAGUUCAAAUAAAUAAUGUCUUCAUACCACUUUGCAAGCCAUUUUUUAAGAUUCUAUAAAUCAUUUUUUAACUUCAAAUACAACAUGCAGAACUACUUUAAAACAAGCAUUUCUUUAUUGAAUCAAACACAAAUCAUCAACUUUAUACAAUCUCAAAAUACUCACAACCACGAACUUAAUUAAUUCAUAUCAUAGUCAUUGUCUCUAUUACAAAUCGUCCAACCAAAACAGAAUAAAUAAACAAGUAGGAUUAUAUAACAAAAUUUGCCUCUCUUUACAUGAAACAGAGAUGUAAAUAGUUUGUAACCACUAAAUACACAGUCAUUCAGCCAAUAUAACACCCAAACAAUCAUCUCCUAAUCACAAAGGCAAAAGCUAAAAUCAAAUUUCAUAUUUUAGUACAUUCAAAAUCAACUAACUUAUUGCUCAAAGUUAAGAAACGGAGCUAACAGUUUAUUUCAGAAACUAAAAAAAAUGCACAUUCUUAGUUUUAAAUAACAAUGACAGUAAAUCACAUGCACAAAAGUUUGAAACUGACCUCAAAUGUGGCAGAAAAAACAGAGUCGCAGCAGCAAGUGUUUUGAGUUUAAGUAAUGCACCACUUAAAAUGCCUGUAUUUUUGGACUGCAUGUGAGUGAAGAUAUAGAAAAUAAGAACAAAAAUUUCAAGUUACGAAUAAAUAAAUAAAUAAAAAAUUUGGAAAACAAAACCCACCAGGGUUGCACGACUGUUCAAUUUCUAAAUAUCUGAAACAACCCAAAAAUAAAAAUUCAAAAAUAUUAUUCAUAAGCCAAAUUAAAACAAACCCAAUAAUUAAAUUGCACAAAAAAAUAAAACAUUCCGCCAUUACCAGCUGAUAACCUCCUCUAUAGUUCUUUCUCUGGACUUAACUUGUCAGGGAGAAUGAGAUUACCUGAAUACCGAACCGAUGGUGCCACUUCACCCCUUGUCGAUGGCUUUUACUUGCUUGCCUAGUAUAGGCACUGGAUGGUUAAGUUGGAGAAAAACCCCUUCGAUAACAAGCGAUUAGGGUUUUGGUUUGUGUUUCAAUUUGGGGAAAAUGGAAAAACGAAUCAGAGUUUUAGGUUUUCAUUAUCUAUCUAAAUUAAUUGAAUUUAAUUUGUAAAUGGAUAGUGCAAAACAGAAGAGAUCGAGAAGAGAAAAACGAAAGCGAAAGUGAACGAUGAAAGCAAGAUAGAGACAGUCGAUAUAGUCUAGAUGGGGAGAACAAGUGUGUUUUAUGUUAUUGUUAUUUAUAUUUUCAUUUUUUAAUAAUUUAAAUAUUAUUAUGACUUUGACUCAUCGAGAUUUGAUGGUCUGUGCUCCAAACAUUAAAGCUUUAAAUCUUAGAGCUCCCAGGUUCGAGUUGGAGCUAAAACAAAAUUUUUAUGAAUUUUUUUUAUCAUUGAUACUUUAGUGUUAGUGAUUUUUGAUGUUUAGUUUACUGACACCCUAGUAUCAUUAAUCUCUGAUUCCUAUUUGUCAAAAGCGGAAAAUGGUGCAUAUGUACAUAAGUACUGACACUUUUUGCAAAGUGUCAGUAACGAAGUGUCAGUAAAGCCCAUUUUUCUAGUAGUGUAUUUUGCUACUUUUUAUGACGGUUUUUGUUAAUAUUCAUCAUUAAACAAACAUUUCCAAUCACGAUUUUGCAUAAAACAAUCAUCUUAUGUGAUAGUUUUAUAUUACUUGUUAUGAUGGUUUAUUAAAUAAUCAAUCAUGGUAUAGGAAUUUAAAAUGAUCAUUAAAAUAGUCUAACUGUUCAUCGUGCAACCAUUAUUCUUUCUUAAGACUUUAUGGGGUGCAUCUUCUUCAAGUAUUCAAAGUGCUCACUAAUACAAUUGUCCAAUGUGUUACCUAAUUUUAGAGAAAUUAAAUUAAAAUGGUCAUUAAAAUUAUGGACAUAUAAUGACCUUUGUAUAAAAAAAAAAGUCAUUCACAUUAAGACUAUUUUUAACUAGACAUAUGAUGACCGUUGUAUGUAAAACCAAUCAUUAAAAAUUUUUACUUUCAAUAAUGGUUUUUAAGAACCGUCACUAACAUUAAGACUAUUUUUUAACUAGACAUCUAAUUAGGGGUGUUCGCGGAUCGGAUUUUGCGGAUUAGAAAUCAAUCCAUAUUGAUCCACGAUUUUACGGAUUAUAAAUUUUUAAUUCAAUCCAAUCCAUGGAUUGAUGAAAUUCAAUUUAAAUAUAAUCCAUAUAUCUACGGAUUAGAUGCGGAUUUGACCCAAUCCAUAUCCAAUCCACCAUUUUUGCGGAUUGGUUUGCGGGCUAAAAAUUUUUAAUCAUGUCUUAUCCACGAAUUAACUAAAUAAAAAAUAAUAUAAAAAUAAUUUUACUAUCAAUCAAAUUCAAAAUUAAAUAAGAUUAAAUUAAAUUAAUUUUUUAAAUAAAGCUAGAAAAUACAUUCAAAGUUUCAAAAUAUAACACACCAAAAAGAAAAAAAAAAUAUCUCAUUUGUUUAGAUUAGUAUAUGAAAAUUAACUGAUUGGGAAGCUAUAUAUUUUUAUUUAAUUAUUUUUAUUUUAUAUUAGUAUUGGAUAAGAUAUAAUAUGAUGUUAAUGUAACUAUAUUUUAAUUUAUUUAUUUAUUAGUAAGUAUAAUGUCAUGUUUACAAGUUUAAUUUUUUAUUAAAUAAAUUUUUUUUUAUUUUUUUACGAAUUCACGGAUUUUUACGGAUUCACAGAAGUAAAUCCAUAUCCAAUCUACUGAUUGCGGAUUUUCAAAUUUUCAAUCGAAUCGAAUCCACCAAUCCACAUAUUGGAUUUUUACAGAUCGAAUUUUUGCGGAUCAGACGGAUUGAGCGGGUUAGAUUGGAUUCUGAACACCCCUACAUAUAAUGACUGAUAUGCUUAAAAACAAUGAUUAUUAUUUUUUUCUUUCAAUGAUGGUUGCAAUAAACAAAUUUGUCAUUAAAAUGAAGAGUAUAUUUUACUUGAUAUUUAAUGACUGUUCUUUUACAUAACAGUCAUCAUAAGUGUUACAUAUUGGACCAUACAUAAUAACAACUAUUAAAUAUCUUUAAUGAAGGUUGUUAAAAAGAACCGUCAUUACAUAUCGAUCAUUGUUUUACAUUUUUGUAGUAGUUAAAGUUCUAAAACAAAUACACACAUUUUUCAUUAAAAAGACAAAAUAAUAGCAUCCAUAUUCGCUCUCAUCUUUUGAAUGAAAAUAGGGUAAAUUGAUAUUUUCAAAAGAUUACGGAGAAAUUAAGAUUGUUAUCUUGAAUAGGGUGAAUGGUAUUUAUCCUAAAAUAAAAUUUUAAUUUGAAUCUAGAGAUGGCCAACAAGCUGGGCGGAAUGGCUCAUCAAAGGUAAGCUCGUGAGGGCCCAUGGGCUGGCAUAGCAUGAUCCACCAUGUCAAUGGCCCAUGCCUGUCUAAUUUUUUUUUCUUAAGUCCAGCACGGCACACUAUACAAGCCCACACAUGCCGUCCUAGACGGUAUUGUGGGCCAUGCUCAAGAAAAAGCAAGGCAAGUAUUUUUUCUUUUUCUUUUUUUUUAAAUUUUUUAAGAGUUUUUCAAGCCCAUAUACAUUUUUUAGGCUGUCUUUAGUUAAAUUCUACAUAAAUGAAAGUUCAAAACUCAAGUCAAUAUUCAAUAAUAAUAAACUAAUAAUAGUAACGGAAUGUAUUACUAACUAUUAGGUUAGAGCCUAUGGAAUUGGAAUUCAUUUUUCUUAACAACAACAACAACAACAACAAUAAUAGCAGUAGUAGUAGUAUUAGUAGCAGUAGUAAUAAAAUAAUAAUUAAUUAAUCUUUCUUAAGGGUUAAUAUUUAAUUGUUAACUUGAACUUAUAUAGAGUAAUAGAUCAUAGUUGAUAAUAACAUUAAUGCUUAUAAGUUUUAAAUUAAAAUAUAACAAUUAACUUUUGAUUUAUACUAAAACAAAUUUAUUGUUGUGUGUAAAUGGUGAAAAAUAAUUUAUUCAUAAAUGAAAUAUAUUUCAUUUGACUAAUAUAUGAUUUUAUAAAUGAAAUAUUAAAGUCGUAAAAGUUUAGAUUUAUCAUUUUUAAAAUUGUAAUAUUUAAUAUUUUAUUUGUUAAAAUCAUGAUAUUAUUGAUUAGUGUUAAAAAUUGUAUGUUUUUAAGAGAUAAAAAUGUUAUUUUGUGCUUAUAAUAUAAUUUACAUUUGUAAUUAUGUAACAUAUUAUGAAUUUCUAAUUAUUUUUCUAAAUAUUUGAUUUUGUGUAAUUUUGUGUGUUUAUUAUGUAAAAAUAAUAAUUUCACACAAUUUAAGCUUCCAAACAAAUGUACGGAUGUCAAAUUUGGAUCCCAGAAGUCCUGAAAAUUAGGUCAUUGUCAACAAGGAUCCACUACUUUUGUUGUAAAUUUAUAAUUUUUUACCAUGAUAAAUGUGGUAAUUGUGAAAUUAUAUGUUUUUACCAUAUUAGGUAUUGUAAUUAAUAGUGGAAUGUGUUGGAUGUGCUUGAGUGGAUUAAGUUAGGUUUAUAUUUUGUUAGUGGGACGAACGUAUGGUUAAGAUGUAAUUAGCUUUAUUUAUUUGUGUGGUGUUGAUUAAUCAUGUAUUAGUAUAAAUAGAGAGAGGGGGAACACACCACCACACCUUUUCUUGUCUUCUUUCCCCUCAAGUUUUUAUUUUAUUUUAUUUUAAUAAUUCCCUUUAUUUCAAUUAUGUUUAGUUAAAUACUAAUAGUUAGGGGAAGGUGAAACUCUUAGUAAAAAAAUAUGAUUUAAUCAAAUUAUAUUUUUAUAUUUUGAAAAUAUAAUAUUAUUUUCUAUUUAAUUUUAUCCAUAUUUUAUAUUUUGAAAUUUGGAUUUAUUGUAAACAAACAUGGGAGUUUGACACAAUGAAUUCUUAAUAUCUUAAUAUAAAAUAUGUAAAAUGAUAUUUUGACUUAUUGUAGACAAGUUAAGUUUUGACACAUUAAGUACUUAAUCCAUAAUAAAAUUAAUGGGAAAAUAGUUGUAAUUUAUACAAUUAAUCUUUUGGGCAAUAAAAUAAAAAUAAAAACAAUUUAUUAAAUUGUAUUUACUACCAAGAGUGGAUCCAUAACCCUAACUAAUUUAAUUUCAUAGUUUUUCUCAAAUUAAAUUACAUAUAUUUAAAUUUUAUUUUCAUUUUUUAGAUAAACUUAAAUAAAUAAAUUAAAUCAUUUUUUUAUGGAUCGACCUCGGACUCACCGAGAUAUAGUAUAAUUAGGUACUAUUAUACUUGGAAGUAAAUUAAAUACUUUUAAGCCGUGUCAAUCAUCUAUUCAUUUAAUAAAUUAUGGACAUAAAACAAUUAUAGUAUUUUUUAAAAUUAAUAUUUCAAUGAAUUUAAAAAACCUACGCUAAUAAAAUACAUUACAAGAUUCAAUUUCAAGUUAUUUGUAAAAUCAUAAAAUUUUAACUUCACUUUUCAUAAAAAAAUUUACUUUAAUAUACUUUGGCUGCGUGCUAGCCCAUUAGUGAAGUGUACUUAUUGCUGCUUUUUCACGUGUCAUUUUUAACUCAUCACUAAUUGGACUGCACUUUUAAAAUUUAGGUACCUAAAAUUCUUAGUCUAAUCCAGCUUAUAUGUGUGCCAUGUUGUGCCACAUGUUCUUUCAAAAAGUGAUGAUACAACCACAAACUCUUAUAUAAACUUAUCUUGUACAAACUGAUUUGACAUUAAUUAAUUAGUUGAAUGAAAAUAUAAAAUAAUAAAAAUAGAUCAUGUAGGUUAAGAAAUAUUUAAUUUAACAAAUUUUAUUAUGGCACAUCAAUUUGUAUAAAAUAAAUUUAUAUAAGAGUUUGUGCCUAUAUUAUUACUCUCUUUCAAAACGUGCUCCUACUAUGUCAUGUUGUACGAACACGUCCGUUGAGCAUAUGUACUUCAAUCAUUCAAAUUUCGAUAGGAAUUAACUAUUAAGGGACCCAUUCGAUAAACAAGAAGAAUAUUUUUUAUUAAUGCGAAAUGGAAACACAAAAGGGAGCCCAAUGUCAUUACCUCAGUGCUUUGCUCCCUGGGUGAAAUUAGAAUUUCAGAAAAGAUUGUCGAUGCCUGUGUAAUAUAAUAUAAUUAGAACGAAAGGAAUAUCGCGGGGUGGUGGUGCCCAGAGGACCAGUCAUUCAUGUUUCCAAUACGAUCGGGAUAUCAGAAGAAGAAGAUAAACAAGACGUCGAUUUGAGCUUCCUUUUCACUGAUUCACUAGGGCUUUUAUUCGCAGGUACAUCCUAUUACUCCUCACAGGAGAUCAUUUGCUGAAAUUUGAUUUUUUCUUUUUUUUAUCCAUCAAUUUCUUAUAAGUAAGUUAGUAAUGAAAUUUGAGCUGAGACUGAUGAAUUUAUAUCUGUAAUAUGCAAAAUUUAUCUCAGCGAAUAAAGCCGAGCUCUCCAUAUUAAAGACUUUUCGUUUUAACGUUUCCAAUUUGAUGGUUGUGAACCCUUAUCAAUACGCAUUUUUCAUAGAUUUGAUGAGAUAUUUGAAUCUGCAAUUAUAUGUCUUUCUUGUUGAAGCAGGGUUGAACCUGAUAUGAGAUGAGUGCAGGUCUUUAGUUUUAGCUAAGCUUAUUUUGCCAAAUUGUGCUUCACUCAUGCAUCUGGAUCUCUUUAGAUUUGAGCUUCAAGUUGGAUUUGAACUUCAAGAAUAUGAAUAACUCAUUGCAAUUGUCAUUUGCAAUUAGUAAUUUUCUGAAUCCAUCUUUUGUACGCCCAUUCGCCCAUCUAGUAAAAUUUAUUACAUCUUUUUUUUUAAAACAUAACCAAUUAUGAUUGUGAUGAUAAUGAGAGAGAAAUUUUAGAAUGUGGCUUGAUUUCUUAGAUGGUCCGUUCAUAUCUUGCAUUUUCUUUUGAAUUGAGGAUGUCGACUUGUUUUUACAAAGUUAAUGACAAAUAAUUUUUUUAAGAAGAUGGUUUUGAUUGUUGUUUUGAUUCAGGAAUUAGUCAAGAUGACACCGGUUUGUCCUUUUGCCAAAGCACGUCCAGAUGAUGCCUCUCCUAGAAAACCUGGUGAAAACUCGAAUAAAUACCCGGCAGAGUGUCCUUUUUCCAAAGCACGUCCAGAUGAUGCUGCUUCAAGAAAAGCAGUUGAAAACUCAGCUAAACCCCAGGCAGAGCAUGAUGGUGACAAAGCAAAGAGUGAUUCUAUAGACUCUGCCAGCAUUCCUCCAAAAUGUCCGUUUGGCUAUGAUGCUCAAUCGUUUAAGAUUGGUCCCCUGAGUUGCAUGAUUUGCCAAGCACUUCUCUUUGAAUGUAGCAAAUGCACGCCUUGUUCACAUGUAUAUUGCAAGUAAGCAAAUAAGGAUACACUUGUUUUAUUUUCUCUAUCUCCCGUUUAUCCUGAAAUGUUGAUUGGUUUUUCUUUUCAUUUUACUUCUGUGGGAUAUGUUCAUUUAUUUUGUUAAAUUGAAAUCAGAGCAUGUAUUUCACGCUUCAAAGACUGCCCAUUGUGUGGGGCUGACAUUGAGAAGAUUGAAGCAGAUACAACUCUUCAGGAUGUUGUCGAUCGCUUCAUUGAAGGUCAUGCUAGAAUCAAGCGAUCUCACACUAAUUCUGACAAAGAGGAAGAUGCAGCAGGUGAAAAUAAAAAAGUGAUAUAUGAGGAUGUUUCUAUGGAGAGAGGUGCUUUCUUGGUUCAACAAGCUAUGAGGGUGAGUUCAGCUAGUUUCUUUGCCAUUGUUUAUGGUCUAAGAAUUUGUGAGUUGGAAAUUAUGUGAGUAUUGAUGUUGUGUUAUUUGUCUUAAAUUCAUAAUUAUAUUAUUAGUCUAACACCAACGGAAGUGAUCCUUCUCUUCUCGAAACCCCUCCCACAAAAAAAAAAAACUCUCGUGAACCAUUCAUUGAUUGUAAUCGAAUGAUUUUAAAAGUUUCUGAGUUGGAAGUAUUAAAUGCCACAAAAAUUUAAGCUAUGUGGUUGUUUGUGUGUGUGUGUGAAGUGGAGUUGCAAGAUUAUCUUGGAGUCUGUCAAUUGCAACUUGCAAGUAGUUCAUACUCUCCAAUUCACCUGGUGCAAUGUGCUCCAUAAGCUGGGCUACAUCAAACACUAGAUCACUCUUUACCUGUCUAUGUAUGUCAUACACUGGAAGCGUUUCUUAAAUGCCUUUUCCAAAUAGCUUUUGUUUCUCUAGCUGAAUUGAUUUUUCAAAAUUUUAAAACUACCAGAUGAUGACCCAUUAGUUAAGAAGUCAUUUUCCUGAUUCAUUGCAUCUGCUUAGCUGAUUGCUUUUCAUGUGUAGGCUUUCCGUGCUCAGAAUGUAGAAAGUGCAAAAUCAAGACUCAGUCUCUGUACAGAAGAUAUCAGAGAUCAGAUAGAAAGAAUGGGCAAUACAUCAGAGUUGUGUUCACAGCUAGGAGCUGUUCUGGGUAUGCUUGGUGACUGCUGGUCUGUCCCCUCUCUCCCAUCACUUGCUUUGCAUUUUUUUUUUUCUUUUCUUUGGGUUCUCCCUUUUGAACUCAUUACAGUUUAUUAGUUUAGAACCAUUUUCCUUGUUAUGCUUUUGCAUUAUAAAUGUUUCUGGUGUUCGAGGGGUACCCAUUUUUGCAUAUGAGAAAUUGAUUUAUGUUGGAAUGAGCCUCAGUAACGCUUUAAGGCCAAUGAUGAUGGUGUAUUCAAAACUAGAUCUAGCUAAGAAAUUAAUAUGAUUGUUGUUACCUAGUAGCUCAAAAAUUUACCGAGUUAUGACAAAAUCCUGAUUAAACAUAAGAGAGACCUCUCAUAUAACAGCAGAAGAAUUCAAUCCAUACCAAUGUCACUCCAGCACAGUAUUCUAGAAAAAGGAUAUGCUUGAUGUACUGGGAUGGGGAUAGUCUUGAAGAAUUUCCUUGUUAGACUAAGAGUUUCAAAUUUUGAAGGAUUGAUUGUGGUAGCUAAAUUAAUGUAUCACCAUUUUCGCUGAUACUUCUCAGAGACUUUAACUAGAUCCAUCUUCUUGUUUAUGUUCCUGCAUUUCUUUGAACGCGUUAACCCAUGCUCAGACUUCAUUUCAGGCUCCCAUUAAGACAUUAAAUUUCUAUCAUGUGAACCUAGUAUUUUCCCCAUCAUAUCGACUUGAAGUGGGUUAUCCUAUCCAAAAUAUAAUAAACUAGAAUAAUCAAGAGGGGAAGAGCUGAGAUGAACUGAUGAGAGCUUUAUUUGCAAUUUUCCAAUAUGAUGCAUGAUAAAUAAGCUUUGAUUGUCAUCUUGAACUUAGAAAUUGGUGGAUCUUGAGUCUAUACAUCCAUUUUUAUAUUUUUACACUUCUUUUUGAAAAAUUAUUUCUGUCUUCAUUAUCAUGUCCAAAAUAUGAGAUUCUUACUUGUGGUAUUGUUUAUGUAAAACCUAAUCCCUUACUUUUUUAUGCAGUCGAGCUAUGGGAGAUGCUGAUGCUGCAGUGGCUUAUUUCGCAGAUAGUGUUGAAUUCCUCAUGAAAUUACCGAUGGAUGAUCUGGAGGUUAUAGCAUGACAGCCGUUUCUACUUAAUUUUGGCACUUUAUGCAUGGUUUUCACCUAAUUAUUUUUUACUUUUUUCUCUACAGAUAAUUCAUACACUUUCUGUUUCACUAAACAAAAUUGGAGAUCUGAAAUAUUAUGGUGGAGACCUGCAAGCUGCAAGAUCUUACUAUGUCCGUUCUCUAAAUGUCCGACGUGAUGCCGUCAAACGUCAUUCAAAUGUUCCAUCACAGGUAAUCCAUCUUCUCUCAGGACAUUUUUUAUUUUCUUUUAUGUUUCUUUCUACUUCAACAUUCUGCACUUCUGAUGUCGUUUCCUCGUACCAUCAUAUUAUUGCUAAAUUUUAGUCUUUUAGUUCGUUCUAUCAGUAAUCUGUUCAUCCUUUUUUUCAUUAGUCAAUGAGAGACAUAUUUUCAAUAUCAAUGUACUUAUUUGUUCUUCGUAUUCUCCUUUUUCUUCCUUUUUAUUGACUGUCAUACAUUUUUUUUCUAGUCUAUUAGGACUCUUUCCUUUCUGUCAUUUUUCUUUUUGUAUUCUACAACAAACUAUAUGAUGCAUAUUGGGGGGUGGAAUCAAGAAUUGAUAUUAUUCAGGAUUUUACAAAUUUAAGAUUAAUAUUGAUUUAAAGUCAAGGCUUUCUUAGGUGUUUAAGUCAAAAGAGGUGCUAUAUAUUCUUUAUCUGCCCAAUGUUGCAUAUGUAAUGAAAAGAAAGGGUAGUCCGUAUCCCGUUUAUUUUUGGAUUUUAAUAGCGUAUAUAGUUAUGCUUAGCAGAGGAUGUUUUGGUUUUGCCUCAAUCAAAUCAUCCUACUCCUAGCAUAGAUUCAUGAAGUUUUAGGGGGAAAGAUAUGAUUGGUAAAGUUUUGUGGAUAUGAGUGAAGUCAUUUCUAUGGUCAAUUUGAGUGAAAGCAAGAGUAAACAUUUAAAGAGCAGUAUGACAAAUUCCAAAUAUAUUAAAGGAAAAUAUUGUAUUUUACUUCUUAAUGGGCUUUGGGUUCAACUGUUUUGGAGGGAUUUCUCGCUGCUUGCAUUUUAGGGAUCAGAUGAGUGUUUCUGUAGGAUUUUCCUUCUUUCCUUGUUAUGUUGUAGGAUUUUCUUCUUUUGUUGGUUAUAAUUAUGUUAGCAUUGGGCGGCUACUGGUUCCAAUAUAUAUUUUUGUUAUUAAAAUGGUAAUGGUGAGAUGAGGUAACACCUGAAAAAAAAAAAAAAAUUGGAUUGCUGGGAAUACAGAGAUUUUAUAUUUGGUUCAGCAAACUUUUAUGGGAAAAUAAAAAAUUUUGUUGCCGGACAAACCUUUUCUGCAUUGAUGUUGCUUUUCACGUGUUGUGUAAAAUCUCAUUGAUUUGGGAUUUUCUUCAUCUCUCUUGACCAAAACAGAGAAUGAUAAAUUAAUGGGUUUCUCUUGUUCCUUGUAAAUUGAAAUGUCUUUCUGUAGAUGUUUGUUUUGUUCAUAUCAGAGUUUCACCUUUAAAAUACAUGGCAAUGUUGAAAAAUUGAUAUGAUGUUAGAUAAAUUCCAGUUGGAGAAAAAAAGUGUUGAGCUACUGAGUUUUAACUUGUUUCUGUGAUUUUAGGUUUUGGAUGUAGCUGUUUCUCUUGCAAAAGUUGCGGAUGUAGAUAGGAGUAUUGGUAAUGAGGAUGUGGCAGUUGAUGGAUUUCAGGAAGCCAUUAAGCAGCUAGAAUCUUUAACAUUGAAACCUGAAGAAGCUGGUUUGGAGCAACGGGUUAGAUUCCUAUUCCAACUUCUUGUUGUAAGUAGUUUAGAUUAUGAAAAUCUUGAUCCGACACUUUUUUGACAUACAGCGCCUUUCAGUGCUGGAAUUCCUCAACAACCAACUUUCAGAAAAAUCACCUGAAUCAACUCCCAAAGUUUAGGUCUGCUUGAAAAAUGCAAAACUAUCUGGUGAAAUAAAAUAGCCUACUGUAUAUGUAUAUACGCAAGUAAUAAAGCUCAGGCUAGCCAAGUCAGUCUCUACAUCAAGCGCUUUCGAGAAUAGCAAAAACUUGAUCCUGUCCAGAAGUGCAAGCGAUGGCUGCAGCUGGAGUCACACCACAGCUUCUUGCCUGGUGCGACUAUAAUUUGGAAGAGCAAACAAGUAUGUAGCUGCGGAUCAACAUAUUUCCUUGUUCUUUCAAGUAAUGGCGUGUAACUUUUUGUUUUCUGUGAAUAAACAUCAUGCCACUGGGAUUUUUGUAUAAUGUUGUAAUAGGCACAAAACUUAUUAAAAUUUCAUUAUGCAGUUCUAUGGAGCAACUUAAAUUAGGACGAUGUAUUGUCAUGUUAUGAAUUGGAAAAGAAUAAGCUGUCUUCUAUUGGCGAUGAAUAAAUAUUAUCAAUACGUACUACAUAGUCCUCAUUUCAAUACCGCAUGAUUCAUAAAUUGAAUUUUGGGUUGCUAGAGUCCCCAUAGGAUUAUUUCAGUUUGUUUAUUAUAUUUAGAAUAGCCUCUAGGAAAGAAUCAAUGAGAACCAAUUACUGCAUCUUUGAUGCACUUUCUAUUAUUAUUGGCACAUCUUAGGUUUGUUUACUAAUUGACUAAUUGUAAAAACCCCAAAAGUUCAGGCAUAAAGAAUUGCUUGAUUACAUUUAUGUUUUUUUCUUAAAUAAAAUUUUCUUAAAGGUCUUCUAAAUGUCAAAUUCAUCUAGCUUACUAGCCUGUAGCAAGAGGAAUAGAAAAUGUGUCAUUGAAGUUGGUUAUGGAAAAGCAAUACUCAGCUUAACAAAAAGCAAGCCCUAAAAAAAGCGCCAAGGAUAAAGAUUUGCACGAAACUAGAAGUAAAGGAGGAUUAAAUAAUGUGAAGGGGAAAGAAUAAUUAAAGCAAACAAGGAAAUGAAAUUUGCACAUGCCUAUUCACCUUGCUCUUUUGCUGAAAGAUAAAGAGAAUUGCUUGCAUCUCAAGUCAAUUAUUCAGUUUGUUCCUACUCGAAAUAAACUGGAGAGUAUCAUUUUCCUAUUUUAUUUAUUUUAUUUUCCUAAGAAUUAUAAUGUUUGAUAAUCCCAAAUGCCCAUCCCAUAAAACCGCGAUUUUCUCUUAUUAAUCUUAACUAUUUGCUAACAUUAAUAUAUUUGCUAAGAUUAAUGUCAACGACGAUCAAACAAGAUUUAUUAGAUGAAUAUACAAGUGAUGUAAUACAAGUCGUUUGUAUUAUGAAGAUAUUUCAUCAUUAGGAGGAAUCAAGAACAUGAAGGGUGGUAAUAAAGAUAUAUUCUGUCAACUUUUAAACACAAAAAAAAAAAAAAGGAGAGUAAAGAGAAAGGAGCAUACGUGAACUGGUUUUUCGAGUUGGUCAAAUAAAACAGAGUUUAAAUGAUUGUCCUUUUUACGCACGAUAACAAUAAGAAAAUUGAAAAAUGUGAACAAAUUAUGUUAAUUUUUUAUCAAUUAAACCAGCUAGGAUUAUGCAUCAAAUGUUAAUUUACAUAAUUAGAUGCUAAAUUUACACAGCUGAAAAGAAUCAAUGGGUGUUUGAGAUGGCGAUUAUCAUAUAGUAAUAUUAAUUAACUGAAAGCCAUUCCAAUCAUGCAUUGGGAUUUGCAUUAUAUUAUCUUUUCUUCAAACUAAAGUGAUUAUCAAGUAUAGAUAUUAAAAUUUUGGGCUUGUUCACUUUCUGCUUUUCUGCUCGGUUUGAUGAUUGUGAUGAAACCGACAGCACAAAAGCAUCAAAUCAAAAAUGGCCUACCAAAGGCGAACCGCCACCCCAAACCUAUUAAGAAGAUAAAGUGCUGUUUGCAAUAUUGGCCAUAAAUUAUUUUUAUUUUAAAAAUUAAUUAAUAAAAUAAUAAAACCCAUUAAAUAUUAUCUUAAAUUUCUUGUAAAAUUCAUCACGUCUAUUUUUUUGAGAAGGCUUUCACUUAAUCUCUGAACCUAAAAGUCUUAUCUUUAAUCAAUAUCGACCCUCAAGGAAAGUGAAUAAAAUGUUUUACACAAUAUUCAAAUUGCAAGUAAACAAAGAUAGUUUUAUUCCAAAACUUUUAUCUAAAUUUUUAUAAAAUAACUGCACCAAAAAAAUUGUUGAUAGUGUAGUAAUACUCAAGAAAGUGAAAAAGCUCUCACACUUCUUUAAAUUGAUGAGUGAUGACUGCUUAUAUAAGAUUAGCAAGUUCUUACAUAUGUCUACAAGCAUGUACAAUCAGCACUUCCAAAAUUCCAUGGCUUGCUUAUUGCUAUUUCCUUUUCUCUCCCUCCAUUGCCUUGUUGUCAUUGCUUCUUCUUCUUCUUCUUCUUCAUCAUCAUCAUCAAAUCAAAUUCCCAAGGUGCUUAUUAUUUUUUUUCCCUUCAUUGGUUUUGUUUUCCAAGACCAAAAGAAUAAAACUAUUAAUUAUAUUCAUUAUUCUUUUAAUGUAAUUUGUUUUUCUUGGCUUGGCAGCCUUAUGUUGUUUAUAUGGGAAGUUCAUCUAAUGUUGGAGUUGCAGAAUUGGCUCAUUUACAACUUUUAUCUUCCAUUAUUCCAAGGUUAGUAAUUACUUCUUGUUAUCAUCAAUGUUCGUUAUUAAAUAAUCAUCAACUUAGCAUUUUUUUUUCUAAUGGGGUUUAGUUAAUUUUUGCAGUGAAGAGAGUGACAGAAUAUCUCUAAUCCACCAUUAUAAACAUUCUUUCAAAGGAUUCUCUGCCAUGCUCACUGAGAAAGAAGCUUCUGUACUCUCUGGUAAGUAAUUCCUAUUACUUUACAGUAGCAAGAAGUUAAUAUGAAGAAUAUAUUAUUCUUUAGAUUAAAAAAAUUCCAAGUUUUGAUGGCUUACUUCAAACGUACUCUUAGUAUAAUUAUUUAAUAGGGAUGUUCACCAUUCUCGUAGGAAUUAGCUUUGAAUAACUAUUGGAAUUGAUAAAUGGAAAAGCAAUUUGAGAUAUGCUAUAAAUUUUAGCUCAUAACUUAUAUUAUAUGUAACUUACAGCAAGUAGUUACCCAUGAACUCCCACUUGUUGCACAUGCUACCAUUUUUUGAUUUUGGGUCUAAAAUGAUUUAAUGGGGUUGUAGAUUCAUGUUUUGGUAAAUUAAUGAUAUUCUAUGUGAAAUAAUUGUGUGGUUAAUAGAAUCAGCAAAUUAUCUCAUGUUAUUUUAUUCAACCCGGGCUAAACUAAAUUAAUAUUUCGAUAAAUAUUAUUCAUUGCGAUUAAUAUGAUUUUUUUAAGGGACUAAGAUGAACUUUAACAAUUUUAUUGAGACGAGCUUUAAUAAUUUUGCUAAGGUCAUAAAAAAUUGUGUUAAAGAACCAAUAAUAUAUAACAUUAAUUAUUUUAUUAUGGUAGCAUUUAUUUAAAAUUACCGGGUCUCAAGGAUAUUUUUCAAGAUCUUCUAGUCUGGACUCCCUCUCUUUACUUCGCCUCUUAAUAGAAUCAUGUCACGUGUCCAUUUGUGCUCCAUAAGAUAGAUGAGCUAUUUAUUAGAUUAUUUAUGAAUAUAUAUUAACACAUACGAUAAUAUGAAUAUAUUAUAACAUGAAUCAAUUCAUGGUUUGAUACAUCAGAUGGUAAAAUGAUUUGAUCUUAUUUAAUAUUUAUUACAAAAGUAUAUGGCAUAACUGGAAAAAAAUAUUUUUCCAAACAUUGUUCUUGAUUGAUUUGAAGUAAUUUGUUAAAUGGAUUGAUUUGUGAUUUGCUGAGCAGGGCAUGAGAAGAUAGUAUCAGUGUUCCCAGAUCCAAUUCUUAAACUUCACACAACACGUUCUUGGGAUUUCUUAGAAGCAGAAGCAGAAGCAAAAGCACCCACAAGCACUUGGUCCAGCCAUAAAUAUCAUAAUAUAUCAAGUGAUGUCAUUAUUGGCAUUAUAGACACAGGUAUAUUAAUUUUAAGGAAAAAAAUUGUACUUUAUAAUUAUCUCUCACUUAAAUUUUUAUUUUAUUUUGGUCCUUGAAGGCAGAACAUUACAUUUAAAGAAUUUAAAAAAAAAAUUAAAAAUAAAAAUCAUAGAAUUAGAUGGUAUUUAUUUGGUGGAUCCCAAAGUUAUUGAGCAAUAGAUACCUAACUUAACGGUUCCAUCUAUGGAAUAUGUAAAAGAGACACAAGACAAAAUUAAAUCACAUGAAUUGUAGUCCCCCAAGAGAAACGCCAUGUGCAUUAGAUAUAUAUAGAGUGAUCCCCAUAUAUCAUAUAUCGUCAAUAUCUUGUCUGUUUAUAAUUUGUGGAUCUUGUUAGCUAUCAACAAGUUCUUUUAUAUUUAUUUAUCCAUUUGUAAAAUUCAGCAAAACUUCAUUCUACAUCACAUUAAGGGAAUGCUUUUAUGCUCCCUAGAAAUAAUUGUAUAUAUUUACUAGUAUUAUGUUGGCAUCGCCCCUAUUUAACGUAAAUUUUUGAGUCAUGCUCAGCAAAUUUCGAGAUUUCUGGUUGAAUAUAUAUGGCCUAAAACGUGAAAAAUUAUGUCUUUAAUUUUCAAGAAUUUCAGUUAAUUAUUUUUUUAAUCUUUUUCCGUAAAUAAAAAUUCAUAGGUAAAUUAAUUUAGUAUGAUUUGAUGUGGAACAUGGAUUCUUUGUUUUGGUAAAUUACAGGGAUAUGGCCUGAGUCUCCAAGUUUCAAGGACCGGGGAAUGAGUGAAAUACCUUCUAAGUGGAAAGGAGUUUGCAUGGAUUCACAUGACUUCAAGAAAUCCAACUGUAAUAGGUGAACCAUUUUUCCCACUAAGAAUUUAAUAGUUUUCUCAUAAUGUUAAGUUUUCAAAAUGAUUAAUAAAAUGAAGAAUAAAGUCAAAAUUUACUAAAAUUCUUAUAAUAUUACUGAUCAUUAUCUAGCGCCGACAUUUGUACACAAACUUGUAGAUAUUGAGCAAAACUAUUGAUGGCAAAACAAUUAGAGCCGCAGCCAGCCUGGACUUGAAGGCCUUUUGACUCUUAAAGUUGAGUACUUAAAUUAUAAAAUUAUAAUGUUUAAUUAUUGAGUAGGCCUUUGGACUCUUAAAAUUCUUCAUAAAGUCCCCUUUUAAAUGAAAUUUACUUAAAUAAUUAAAGACAAAUCAAUUUAUUUUUAUUUUGAAUAAAAAUUGAAUUAAACACUUAAGCAGGUUAUUCUUUUAACAAACUUUUGACACUCACACCAUUGUAUAAUUUAUAUUUAUAUUUGAAAUUUUAAUAGAUUUUUUAGAAAAUUACAAGAAUUUAAUAUUUUGGAAAUAGAAACUAUGUGAUAAAAAAAAUUUUAACGUUUUGUGAUUUUUAUGAUUUUAUAAAUAAAAAAAUUGAAAGAUACCUUUUUUAGGGGUGAAAUUUUGGUGGGAAGAUGAUUAAAUUUAAUAGUGGGCGAGGCUAUUAAUUCAUCUCACACCCUUUUCGAAAAAAUAAAUUUAUUAUUAAAAUUUAGAGUUUCAAAAUCUUGAAAUUAUCAUUUACUAAUUUCUUUCUCUCUCUACCUCAUGAUUGCAUAGUCUCUUUAUAUUGUCACAUUUUGUAAACUAAACUCUCAAUUUUAUUUUCUUUCGGAUUCUUUUUUUGUAUUUCUUAAUAAAUCAUAAUCUUUAUUUCAUGUUUUCUAUGUGCAAGAUUUUUUUUUUGACAUUUAUUAAGUUUUGUGGUUGGUAAAAAUUAAUUUCUUGACAUUCAUAAAAACAAAUGUAGUGAUUUUCAUUUUUGACUGAUGGAUUUUGAUCCUUAGUUUAUAAUAGCCUAUAACGAAAUUAAUUAUUUGUAUUGUGCAGUCAAACGAAAAUAUAUGAAGGAAUUGAUGAGAAUUGAGAAAUUGAGAAUGAAAAGAAAAAAAAUUACUUAGUUUAUAACUAAGUAAUUUUAUUAAAAGUUAUUUUAAUAAAAAAAUUUAAUUAAAAAAAGAGUAUAGAGAAAAAAUUAAUGGGUUUCACCCUUUUAUAAAAUAAAGUUCAAAGAAGAGUAUUGCAGGGGUGUUAAAAGCUCCACUCCUAAGUGCACCAAGUGCUUUGUCUCAAAAGUGUACUUAGUAAUUUUGUAUGGGCCAUUAUGAGGCUUUGUGGACCGAGUUCAACAAAGUACAUUGGGCUCCGAAGCCAUGUUAAUCAAUGGCCCUAAUUGAGAUUUGAUUACGAUAUAACCUUUUGUGUUACUUGCCAAAAAGGACAAAAAGAUACGAAAAGAAGUCACUGACAAUUCAAUCUGACUUCACUUAAAAAUUUAAAUCUUUCCAACCCUAAUUUUAUUAUGCCAAAAUGAUAUGAUAUAUAUAUAAUAUGAAUAUAAUCAAGUUUUCAUUUUAGAAACCAUAAAAAACCGAGCAUCAGAAAACAGCCCCUGGUUAGGCCCAAGCUUAGCUAACGCAAGCUUGGCUUCCCCCCCAAAUGCAGUUAGGCGUAGAAUUAUUACGAUUAAAGGCUCAUUUGGAGUUGUUUUUGAGUCUUGAGAGAUUUAAAAAUGAUUUUAAAAAAUUAAAAAUUAAUUUUAAUAUUUGAUAAAUUUUUUUAGAAACACUUUUGGUAAAUUUACCUCAUCCUAUAGUAAGUUUCUAAAAUAAAGAAAGAAAUAACUUUUUAAAAUUUAAUUUGAAAAAUUGAUAUUAUACUUAAAAUAAUUCCGUAUAUAUCCUCCUAUGUAUUGUACAAAUCUAAGAUUAUCUUUAUUCACUUGAAAAUAAAAUUAUUCAAUUCAAAGAAAUUAUUAUUAUUGUCAAUUAUAUUGAGAUAAUAAAAUAAAAAAUAGAGUUAAAAUAUUAAAAUAUUUAUUUUAAUUAUAAAUUAUUUUGUAUAUAUGUUUAUAAAUGUGUAAACACUUAUAACUUCUUUAAAAACUCACAUCACUUUUAAAAUAAAUUUUACUAAAAUUUAACUUAUUCUUUUCACAGUUGAUUAUAUCUACAGUACAAUUAACAACAAUUAUUUUAAAAACUACAAAAUUAUCAAACUAAUCCUAAAUGCCACAUAAAUUGAAGAAAAUGAUCAAAAUUCUCUUUUGUUCGUUAAAAUUAAUUAUUUUCCUCUCAUAUUUCAUUACCGUUCUCAUUCAAAUGAAUUCUAGCUAGUAACUUUGAACAUUUUCCUAUCGUUAACUAUUUCACUAUUUUACAAGUCUAAUUUUUGGGAUAAAAUAAUAAAAUUUUUAAAAAGAAGUUGAAUGUAUAUAAAAUAUUUUUAAUCAAGCGACAGAAAAUGGUUAAUUUACUGAUACACCAUAGUGGUUUUAAUCAUUUUCCUAAAUAAAUUGUCACAAGGCUGUUGGCAAUUAAAGUAAAAUACAAUUAAAAGUAAAAUUUCCAAAUUGCUUAGGAUCAAAAUCCUCUGAUAUUAUUUGGAAAUUUUAGCAUUAUUAAAAUAUUUAUGGGUAUAACAAUACAAUAUUGUGGCUGCAGGAAACUAAUAGGAGCAAGAUUCUACAGCAUUCCUCUAACAUCAAACAACCACAACACAACGAGAACAACUCUAGCUGGGUCUCCAAGGGACUCCGUUGGCCACGGAACACACACGGCGUCAACCGCAGCCGGUGCCCACGUGGCCAACGCCAGCUACUUCGGCUUAGCCCGUGGCACAGCCAGGGGGGGCUCUCCAUCUUCCAGGAUUGCAAGCUACAAAGCCUGCUCCGAAGACGGCUGCUCAGGCUCAGCCAUAUUACAGGCAAUGGAUGAUGCAAUUGCGGAUGGAGUUGAUAUCAUCUCAAUUUCUAUUGGAAUGAGCUCCCUGUUUCAGUCUGAUUACUUGAAUGAUCCGAUUGCAAUCGGCGCUUUUCAUGCUGAACAAAUGGGAGUGAUGGUGAUCUGUUCUGCUGGCAAUGAUGGUCCUGACCCUUCCACUGUUGUUAAUACGGCUCCUUGGAUUUUUACUGUUGGUGCUUCGAGUAUUGAUAGAGAUUUUCAGUCUACUGUGCUUCUUGGAAACGGGAAAACUAUCAAAGUAAGUUUUAAUUUCAUUCAAGAAUAUUUUGUUUUUUAUGUUUUAAAACUUAUGCUUCUGAAAACUAAUUUUAGAACCUAAUUAAGAUCACAACAAAAUGUAUGCUUAGAAAUAUAUUUAUUGAUAAAUUUUUUGCUUUGUACCUUUUCGUUAGGCUGCUGUUUAGCUUGCCAAGAAAAUUCGAGCAAAAUGAGUGAAAAAGCGUUUCUCUAACAAAGAUUUUCUUGUUAAUUAUUUUUUUAAAAGGAAAAAUGCUAAAGCAACUAUAGUGUUGACAGAAAUUAGAUAAAAUUGGCGUUAGUUUAUCUUACUUUCAAUUGAGUAAACUAGCUAGCACUAGUUUCAUUAUCUUACUUUUAUCGGCGUCCUGUUAAAUUGUUCUGUGUUGAGUAUUAUUAACUUUCAAAAGUUAAACAAACAAUCACUUAGAUUCCAUUUGGUAUUUUUUUUUAAAUGCUGUUUUUGAAUAUAGAGAUUAUUUUAUUUUUUUCCCCUUGAAACUGGUAUCUAUUUCUCUUGCUUUUAAAAUGUCAUCAAACACAUGUUUACUAUUCUUAAUUUAAAAAAAAAAAAAUAGACGAACAAUAUUAAAUAAGUUUUCCAAUUUUAAGAAAAUUAUCUUUUUUAAAAUAAAAAAUUUUCUCUUACUAAUUUAUAAAAUCUAAUUAGAAUAAUUUUGCUGGUAGGGAUCUGCCAUUAGUUUAUCAAACCUCUCGAGCUCAAUGACCUAUCCCAUUGCAUUUGGAAAGGACAUUGCUGCUAAAUUUACCCCUGUAUCCGAAGCAAGGUAUUUCAUUGUGUGGGCUGUUUUUUCAAUAAUUAAUAUACUUUUUUUUCCAUAUUGACAAUUAAUUAAGUUGAUUAAUUUAAAUUACUGACAUUGAUUAAUGAAUUAAUUGAAAUGUGCAGGACUUGCCGUCCAGGAUCAUUAGAUCCUAAGAAAGUUGCAGGCAAAAUCAUUGUUUGUGUUGAUGAUGACCCAACAGUUCCUAGAAAAAUUAAGAAAUUAGUUGCGGAAGAUGCAGAUGCCAAAGGCUUAAUUUUGAUCGAUGAGGAUUAUGAGAAACAUGUGCCUUUUGAUUCUGGCAUUUUUCCAUUUUCAGAAGUUGGCAGCGUUGCAGGAUUUCAAAUCAUUCACUACAUCAAUUCUACCAAGUAACCCUUGUCAUUAUUAUUAGCUUACUCUAUGAUGACUAAUUAUUUAAUCAUUAAACUACUAGAAGUAAUUAUAAUUAUUUAAACAAACCUUAUAUAAUAUCUAGUGUUUUAGUUAGGCUCAUGAUUUCUAUAUAUAAUAGCUGCCCACCUGAACAAAAUUUCUAGCUUAGUCCUUGAAUGCAUCAACAACACAUACAUACAUACAAACAAACACACACACACACACAUAUAUAUAUAUAUAUAAUGUCUGGUCAAUUUGUCCAACCAGCAUGGUAUCAUAGCAAACACAGAAUUGGUUAAUGAGUGCAUGUGUCUAUUUUUAAAUUAAUGUAUUGGAUUAACUAAACAGGAAUCCGACUGCAACAAUUCUCCCAACAGUUGAUGUUCCAGGAUACAAGCCCGCACCAGUUGUUGCAUAUUUCUCAUCAAGAGGUCCAGGAGAGCUUACAGAAAACAUUCUCAAGGUUAUAAUUAUUAAUUAUUUAAUUUACCAAAAACAUAUAAUAAAUUAAUUGUUUAAUGAUAAAUAAUUUUUCUAUUGAUAUCUGCAGCCUGAUGUAACAGCUCCUGGAGUUGCCAUUUUAGCUGCAAUUGUCCCGAAAGCCAAUGCAGGGAGUUUUCCGAUAGGAAAGAAGCCGGCCGGAUAUGCAAUAACAUCGGGAACAUCGAUGGCUUGCCCACAUGUUACUGGAGCUGCUGCAUUCAUUAGAUCAGUGCACCGAAGAUGGAGUUCUUCCAUUAUCAAAUCAGCUCUUAUGACAACAGGUACACUAAUUUUUUAAAAAUUCAAUAAUUAAGUAGAUGGCCUCAUUUUGCAUACAUAUACUAGCCCUAUUGUUGAAUUAUAAUUUUUUAUUUCAGAUCUGUGCAUAUUUUUUAUCAUAUACAGUCAAUCAUGUGUAUUGAAAAAAUACAGACUUGAACUAGAUAUAUCUGCAGCACUAUUUGCUGCAAAGUGAGAUUGUUUUAGAAUGAGGAGGGCUAGAGGGUGGUAACUAGCUAUAUUUUUUAGGGAGAAUUAACACUGAGGUCUGAACAAUUUUCACUUUUACUACUUUAGUCUCUAAUUUUUUCUCUUUUUUUUUUUUUUUUCUUUUGGUUAAAAGUACUAAAGAAUGUUGAAUGUAAUUUUUUAACAUGCAAAACCUCCCUAUCUUUUUAUAGACAUAUCACAUAAUUUAGAUUGAUAGCAGCAUGGAUGUAAUGGUAAAAGAAAUAAAAGAAAUUAUAUUCUUUCUGCAACUAUUUUAUCGCCAGGUUUCCCAGUAUUCAAUAAAUUAUAAAUAUCCUAGCUUAGAUCCGCUUUUUGAAAUGUAUAUCCUAUACCCUAGCUUGUUUAAUUGUUAGAAAAAUUAUUCUUCAAUUAUUUGCACCUUCUAAUGCGGUUGUGUGCUAUAAAAAUAAACGUAUAAAAUGGAACUUACAAAUAUUUUAUAUAUGCAGCAACCGUUUAUGAUAACACGGGAAAGCCCUUGAAAAACAACGCAGGCAGCACUGCAAGUCCACAUGAAACUGGAGUUGGGGAAAUCAGCCCACUCAAAGCUUUAAAUCCAGGGUUAGUAUUCGAAACUACAACGAAAGACUACCUUCGAUUCCUUUGUUAUUUUGGAUAUUCAGAGAAAAAUAUUCGAUCAAUGUCAAAGUACACAAACUUCAACUGUCCAAGAAACUCCAUUGAUAAUCUCAUCUCAAAUAUUAACUACCCAUCAAUCUCCAUAAGCAAGCUUGAUCGCCAUAGAGCUGCUGAAACUGUUAAACGAACUGUGACCAAUGUCGGAUUGCAAAAUGUCACAUACAUUUCCAGGGUGAAUGCUCCUUCAGGAUUAAUAGUCAAGGUACUUCCUCAAAAACUUGUUUUUGCUGAAGGUGUAAAAAGAAUGUCUUUUAGCGUUUCCUUCUACGGCAAGGAAGCUGCUGGUGGAUACAAUUUUGGAUCGGUAACGUGGUCAGAUAAUCGACAUUCUGUCCAAAUGAUGUUUGCUGUGAAUGUUCAAUAAAUAUAAUAUAUAAUUAUGUACACACAUGAAAAUUUGAGAUAUAUAAUUGGGUGAAUAAUGUUCACAUGUAUAGACAUUGUUUUUUGUUUAAUAUUCAUUUCCUAAUUUUAUCGUUAGCGUGAAUCAAACUAGCUAAUGUUUUUUGAAUUUGUUGAAAUAUACUUGAAAAGCAAAUCCGUACCCUCAACUCAUUCAUCUUCAUCUACCAAUAAGUAGCCAACCAACAGUUGUAGCAACCAUCGCCAACAGUUGUAGCAACCUUGACAAUUUUUUUUUUUUGGUGACAAUUUUGGUAGUUGGAUGGUGUUAGAGGCGGUUGUCUCGACUUCGAUAGUGAUGCAUGAAUGUUCUGAUGGCCAGAUGGCGGUUUUCGUAUAGGCUCUUCGGUUGAAAUUUUUUCGAAUGUACGGAUUUUAUUUUUCAGUGUUUUUAUUUUAAUGUUCUGAGUUUUCUGUGUUUUUGUUGUUGAAUACAAUCAUCGAAAUAAAUUUGAGAUUAUUUUCGUUCCGAUUUUAAACUAAAUUUUUUUUUUUAAAAUACAUCAAAAAUAUCAUAUCUACCAUAUAACAAGUAAAUGAUAUUAUGACUUGUGUAUUUGUUUUGAAAAACUAUCAUGUAAAUGAUAGUUAUGUUAAAUUUAAUUAUAUAUGUCAUCUAUGUAUUAAUUAGUUGUAUUAUCUUGAUAUAUUCUAGAAUAUCUCUAAAGCUACAAUGACUGUAAUGGCAUUGUUACAUCCAUUAUUGAGAAUUGCUUUGGGAGAUUGCUAUUUCCUUUAUUAAAAUCAAUAUGCAUCACUUUUUUUUUACUAUUUUUAUGAUACUCAAUGACCACUUGAUAUAUAAUAUUACUAUAUUAUCUUUAUUUCCAAAUACACUUUUUAUUAAUAUUUCUUAUAAAUUAGAUAAAUCAAAUAAUUUGAAAUAAAAAUAAAAAAAUUGUUAAACACUAAAAAAAAGAAAAAAAUUGUAUUUUGAUUUUUUUAAUUUAUUUUAAUCUACUUCUUAUUCUUAUGUUUUAUUUAUUCUAUUUUUUAUUUAGUAAAAUAAAAUGUAUGAAAUAAAUGAUAAAUAAAAAUAUUUUAUUCUUAAAUGCAUAUUUUCUUUUCACAUUUAUUGCAACAAAUACAUUUUCUUAAAUAUUUUUUUAUAGUAAAUGCAUAUUUUAUAUUAUUAGGAAGAAAUAUCAAGCAAAUAAUUUAUUUUAAUCCACUAGUAGGGAAUGAUUAGUAGAUAGUGAUUUCAGUUGGGGAAAUCAACAAUCUUCCUUCUCCCUUCUCCCUUAUUUUGAACUUUUUGAAAUCUUUUAUCUUAAUUUUAUGCAAUUAUUUUAUUUUUUAUGUUUGGCACUAUGUAGAAAAUUUUAGUGGCGCUUUAGAAGUCUUUUGCGUAUAGACUUGACACCUUCAAAAAUAAAUUAAUAGAUUAUAGUUAUGAGAUAAAAAGGUCCCGUUUGUUCGAGAUUCUUCCAUAUAUAGUAAUAUUACCAAUUAAUUGACGUAGGACGUUAUUUUAGAAUUUUAGAUAUUGUUAUUUUAGGUAUUUUGAUAUUUUCUAUUUUAAUUAAAGUUCUUAGUCUUUUAUCUUUAUUAUAGUUAUGAUUUAGUAGGGAGGGUAAAAUCCUCUAUGAAUUUGGACCUCAUGGGGCCCCACCCCAAAUAAAGUGAAUUUUGAAUAAUUUUUGGGAAAUGGAGUGAAGAAUGAGGGAAAAAAUAAUCUCAAAUUCUUAAUGGAGUGGGGUUUGAUUUUGUACCUUUCACUCCACCACCACCCCAAUUCCCAUUAUAUAUGAAUAUUUGUUUAUUUUUGUUCAAAUUUUUUUUUAUCCAUUAUAAGGGUCCGGCUACGGUGCAACUGUNNNNNNNNNNNNNNNNNNNNNNNNNNNNNNNNNNNNNNNNNNNNNNNNNNNNNNNNNNNNNNNNNNNNNNNNNNNNNNNNNNNNNNNNNNNNNNNNNNNNNNNNNNNNNNNNNNNNNNNNNNNNNNNNNNNNNNNNNNNNNNNNNNNNNNNNNNNNNNNNNNNNNNNNNNNNNNNNNNNNNNNNNNNNNNNNNNNNNNNNNNNNNNNNNNNNNNNNNNNNNNNNNNNNNNNNNNNNNNNNNNNNNNNNNNNNNNNNNNNNNNNNNNNNNNNNNNNNNNNNNNNNNNNNNNNNNNNNNNNNNNNNNNNNNNNNNNNNNNNNNNNNNNNNNNNNNNNNNNNNNNNNNNNNNNNNNNNNNNNNNNNNNNNNNNNNNNNNNNNNNNNNNNNNNNNNNNNNNNNNNNNNNNNNNNNNNNNNNNNNNNNNNNNNNNNNNNNNNNNNNNNNNNNNNNNNNNNNNNNNNNNNNNNNNNNNNNNNNNNNNNNNNNNNNNNNNNNNNNNNNNNNNNNNNNNNNNNNNNNNNNNNNNNNNNNNNNNNNNNNNNNNNNNNNNNNNNNNNNNNNNNNNNNNNNNNNNNNNNNNNNNNNNNNNNNNNNNNNNNNNNNNNNNNNNNNNNNNNNNNNNNNNNNNNNNNNNNNNNNNNNNNNNNNNNNNNNNNNNNNNNNNNNNNNNNNNNNNNNNNNNNNNNNNNNNNNNNNNNNNNNNNNNNNNNNNNNNNNNNNNNNNNNNNNNNNNNNNNNNNNNNNNNNNNNNNNNNNNNNNNNNNNNNNNNNNNNNNNNNNNNNNNNNNNNNNNNNNNNNNNNNNNNNNNNNNNNNNNNNNNNNNNNNNNNNNNNNNNNNNNNNNNNNNNNNNNNNNNNNNNNNNNNNNNNNNNNNNNNNNNNNNNNNNNNNNNNNNNNNNNNNNNNNNNNNNNNNNNNNNNNNNNNNNNNNNNNNNNNNNNNNNNNNNNNNNNNNNNNNNNNNNNNNNNNNNNNNNNNNNNNNNNNNNNNNNNNNNNNNNNNNNNNNNNNNNNNNNNNNNNNNNNNNNNNNNNNNNNNNNNNNNNNNNNNNNNNNNNNNNNNNNNNNNNNNNNNNNNNNNNNNNNNNNNNNNNNNNNNNNNNNNNNNNNNNNNNNNNNNNNNNNNNNNNNNNNNNNNNNNNNNNNNNNNNNNNNNNNNNNNNNNNNNNNNNNNNNNNNNNNNNNNNNNNNNNNNNNNNNNNNNNNNNNNNNNNNNNNNNNNNNNNNNNNNNNNNNNNNNNNNNNNNNNNNNNNNNNNNNNNNNNNNNNNNNNNNNNNNNNNNNNNNNNNNNNNNNNNNNNNNNNNNNNNNNNNNNNNNNNNNNNNNNNNNNNNNNNNNNNNNNNNNNNNNNNNNNNNNNNNNNNNNNNNNNNNNNNNNNNNNNNNNNNNNNNNNNNNNNNNNNNNNNNNNNNNNNNNNNNNNNNNNNNNNNNNNNNNNNNNNNNNNNNNNNNNNNNNNNNNNNNNNNNNNNNNNNNNNNNNNNNNNNNNNNNNNNNNNNNNNNNNNNNNNNNNNNNNNNNNNNNNNNNNNNNNNNNNNNNNNNNNNNNNNNNNNNNNNNNNNNNNNNNNNNNNNNNNNNNNNNNNNNNNNNNNNNNNNNNNNNNNNNNNNNNNNNNNNNNNNNNNNNNNNAGGAUCCACUUAGAUGGGUGGGGUCCAUUGAAAUCCAACGGAUCGAUGCAACUGUGGCACGGUACCACAGUUGCACCACAGUUUUCCCCUAAUUAUAAUGUUGGUUAAUAAAAUUUUAUUUUAUUUUUACCUAAUAUAAAUAAGUUAUAACUAAAAGAAAACCAUAUAUUAUAAUAUUUAUUUAACCUUAAAAUAUUGUUAUGUUUCUUUUCUCUCUUAAGGUGUUGCUCUCUUCAAACUUUUUUUUUAAAUUUUGAUAUCAUUUCUAGAUAUUAUUUCAACCCUUUGGAGAUUUUUUAAAAUAAUUUAAAUACUUUAUAAUAUGAAAAUGAUUUUAUUUAAGUCUCUAAUUUUUAAUUACUGAAAUCAUUUAUCUAUAUCUACUAUAAAAUAAGUAAAUGAGGAGUGGGGUGAGGAUGGGGAAAUCAUUCCUUAUUGUUGAGUAGCUAAAUUCAAACACUUAUGGAAAGAAAACUGGCAGCAUUUUGUAAAUGUUUGAGUUGUUUUGAAAUCACAUGAAUGAAGCAUGAUUACUUAAACUUGAAACGGCAACUGAAAUGAUCCUUUUGGCUAUAACAGUUUUUCAUUUGCCACGUGACUUGUCACUCGAAUGCUUAAUGACCUCAAGGUCGUUAUAACAACUUGUACAUGUGGCCAAAUCCUAUACAUUCUAGGUUUACAGAUUGUUAAGCAACUUUUGUAUAAAAUGGGGUUAUCAAGCUUAUUCAGUAAUGGUUCUAGAGAGUUCCUGUGAGAGAUUUGUGAGUCAGAAAACUUUUUCUUAAGCUCUAUAAUCUUCACUUGAGUUCUUGUAAUCUUCUUCUUUGAAUCAAUUGAUAAAGCCAGCUCUGAUGUUUUACCCAUGGAUGUAGGCCACUCAAAGAUCAAACCACGUAAUCUUGAGUUCUUGUUGAGUUUUUGAUUUGUGCUCUGUGUUUCAUUUAGAUCCGUUUUGUGUUUUUGAUUGUAUUGAUUUGUUUAGAUUUUUUUAAUCUAAUUUGAUUAAUCUUCAAGUAAUAAAUGCAACUUGUAUUGAUCUUCGAUUGAGAUCUUGGGCAGAGCUUUGCUUUAGUUGAGGUUUAUAUUGAUUAAGCUUUACAAUUGGUAUCAAAGCAGGGUUCUUAAUUAAAAUCCAAGUAUGGCUACUUAAAAGGUUGAUCUAGAAAAGUUUAAUGGCAGGAACGAUUUCAACAUUUGGAAAGUUAAAAUGAAAGCUCUUUUUAUCAGCCAAGGCUUGGGGGAUGCACUUGAAUCUUCAGUAAAGAAGGGAGGCAAGGAGGUAUCAUCAUCCAGGACUCUAGAAUAGAUGGUUGACAUAGACAAGAAGGCUAGAAGCAUUAUAAUUCUGAGCCUUACAGAUUCUAUGACUAGGGAAUUGGCCAAGGAAACAUUUGUUACAACCUUGAUGGAGAAGCUUGAGAGCUUGUACAUGAAGAAGUCACUGGCUAAUAGGCUUCACAUUUAGAAGAGGAUGUUCACCCUUAAGAUAGCUGAAGGCUCAUCAUUUGACAAACACAAUAAUGAAUUUAAUCAAGUAUGUGAUACACUAGCUACCAUUAACGAGGCUUUAGAUGAUGAGGGUAAAGCCUUAUUAUUGAUCAGCUCGCUACCAAAAUCAUACAAAAACUUUGUUGAUGCACUGAUGUAUGUGAGACAAACACUUUCACUUGAUGAAGCUAAAUCAUCUCUCAAUAUUAAGGAGUUAUAAGAAAAGCAUGGUAAUCUUGAAAAUGGAGCUGGUGAGGAGCUAUCUGUAAAGGAGAAGUUUGACAGGAAAGAUGAAAAGAAAAAGAAGCCAAACAAAUCCAAGAACAAGAACAAGGUCUUAAAAUGCUUUCAAUGUCACAAAUAAGGUCAUUUUAAGAAAGAUGUUCCAAAAACAAUCCAAACAUAAAGGUCAAAAUGGUGAUGCAAUAGUGGUUGAAGAAAAAGGAUAUGAGUCAGCUGAUGUUCUCAUUGCCUCAGAAGUAAAUGAAAGAGGUUAAUGGGUUUUGGACUAUGGAUGCUCAUUCCAUGUGUCCAUUUAUAAAUCAUUUUACUAAAUAUUUUGAAUGUGAUGGUGGUAAGGUGAUGAUGGGUAAUAAUGUAAUGUGUAAAGUUGUUGGCAUAGGCAACAUAAAUCUAAAAUUACAUGAUGGGUCUACCUAUGAAUUAAAACAAGUCAAACAUGUUCCUGAUCUCAAAAGGAACUUGAUUUCACUUGGUAUGAUAGACCAAAUAGGGUGCAUUGUUAAGCUUCAAAAUAGGGUGAUGAGUGCUGUCAAAGGGUCUUAAGUCCUGUUGAAGGGAAUUAGGAAGAAUGGGCUUUAUGUUCUUGAUGGUACCAUUGAAUCAAGAGAGGUAUCAAUGUCAUCCAGCUCUAGUGUUCAUAAAACUAGACUAUGACACUUAAGACUUGGACAUAUGAGCUUAAAAGGCUCAAAGAAUUAUCUAAACAAGGGUUGUUGAAUGGAUAUAGGAUUGAAGAUCUAGUGUUCUAUAAAGAUUGUGUCUUAGGUAAAUCUACAAGGGCUAGCUUCAAACCUUUAGUGCAUACAUCGAGGGGGGGGGGGCAUUGGAGUACAUAUAUUCUUAGGAGGUUUCACUAGGUGGAGCCAAGUAUUUCUUGUCGAUUAUUGAUGAUUAUUCAAAGAUGAUAUGGGCAUAUUUACUUAAGCAAAAAGAUCAAGUGUUUGACAAGUUUAAGGAAUGAAAGAUCUUGGUUGAGAAUCAAGUAAGGAAGAAGGUGAAGAAACUGAGGAUAGAUAAUGGGUUGGAAUUAUGUAAUCAAGUUUUUGAUAAUUGUUGUGUUGUUGAGGGAAUUACAAGACACAAGACAGUAAGGCUCAAACGACAACAAAAUGGCCUUGUUGAGAGAAUGAAUAGGACACUUAUGGACAAAGAAAGAACCAUGAUGAUUCAAGCUAAGUUUCCAAUGAAUUUAUGGGCAGAGACUCUCAACACAUCCUAUUACUUAGUGAACCUAAGUCCCUCCUCUACAAUAAGUUUUAAAACACCUCAUGAAAUGUGGUUUGGGAAUCUAGCUAGCUAUGGAAGUCUUAGGGUAUUUGGUUGUCAACCCUAUUGUUAAAGCGUAUUAUUGUAGGUGUUAAUGUGCAAGUGUACACAACAAGUAAUAUAAGUAUGAGUAUCCAGAUCGUCUCCACAGGGAUUGAUGUUAUAAGACUUGCCACAAUAAUCUUAACUGGGCAAUUUCAGUCUAAUUAAAAUAAAUUAAUUUAUGAAAUUGAUGACCUAAUGAAAUAAAAAAAUUGCAAUAAACAUAAUCCAAUAAGGAAAAUCUAAAGUCGAAAAUAAAGAUAUACUCAAUGAAAAAGGGGUAGUUGAGUGCUUAAACUCACUUAAUGAUGUUGACUAUUUUUCAAUUGUCAUAUUGUUGCUACAACAUCUACUACAGCACUAGGCAGAAUCUCUCAUGCAUCCUCAUUUGUCGCAUGUUGGAUAUCUUAGAUCUAUAUGCAACCUAACAGUGGCCAGUUGUUAUGCUAAUAUUAUAUAUAACAUUAUGCAUUCUAGAUUCCAAUUGCCCUAUAAGGUGAAUCUUCAUGUCCAGUUCUUCACUAAUCUUAUAUUAAGUAUGGUCUUAUUUAAAUUGAGAUUAACUUAACUUGGGAAACUCAAUCUAAAACCAUGUAUUAUCUAGAUAUUUUCCACUAAGUCAAACUUUUUUGAGGUUUUUUCUUAGCUAGUAUCCAUUAAAUGGGUGGUCAACUAAAAUAAAUGCUAUAACAGAUUCUAAGCAACAUACGUAUAUAAGUCAAAUAACAAUUAAACUUAUUUAACACCUAACUACAUCAAAGUUUAGUUUAUGAUAGGUGAUAAAACAAUAACAACACACAUUUUUGCCAUCAAAUACAUUUCUAGAGAGAGAUGAAAAUAAGCAAAACAAAGAGUAGAAAUUGAGAUCUACUAAAUUCAAGACAUCCCUCUCUUAGGUUUUUGCGAUCUCUCAUUCUUUUUCUCAGAAAUCCCUUGCUGCAACUCUCAUGAUAAGUGCAUAUUUUCCAUAUAUUUUGCUAUUAAUUUCUCCAUUUUUUUCUUGUUUUGGUCAUAAAUAUUCUAGUUAUUUUAGUUAAUUUUUAAUUUAAUAAAUUAUAUUUUAUUGUGUUAAUUUUUAUCUUAGUUUUAUUUAUUUUGUUAUUUUAGGUAUAUUCUGUUAUUUAUUUUGUUAUCGGUUUAAACAGUACCAAGAUGCUGUUAUUGGCACUGUCCUCACAACCCUUCAUGCAGGAAGUGUGUUACUCACUUUCUAUCCCAAUUUCAACCUUUCUCUCCAAGAUCCCAACUUGCCCACAACCUUGAAGGUCCAAAUCCAAAUUCAAGGUGCUGAACAAAUUUCUUCUGCCAAAAUUGCCACUUUACACCACCAACUGGUCUACAGGCUUCAAAAUCAUGCCUUAGAUCUACCCACACCAGAACACCACUCUGACACCCUCAUGGUGUUAGCAGAAUCUGACCAAAUCCCGAAAAUCAUCCAGAUCCCACGACAAAUUCCUCGUCAUGAGCUCAUCAAGCUUAUGCCUCUUGAAUGGAUCUCCAACUAUGAACAGUUCCACAAUAAUACAGCUCCUAUUCAGACAUCUGAAAGUAUGUUUGAAAGACGACAAGAUGGAACAGUCAGAAUGACUUUUAAACCACCUCCCAGUGCUCCACAAGAGCCUCCUCGGCUCUCCUUUACUUAUUCCUCAAUGAUCACAGCUGUUCAGACAGCCCAAGAAGAUCUGCCCAUUACAGGGUUUAAUUCUGAAGGUUACCCUAUUUAUCCAGCCAAACACAAUGGCCAUUUCCUAUGGGAUGCCCCUGGUUCCGGCAUGUGUGACCCAAAUUGUCCCUGCUGGGAUGAUUGGGAAGAAGACGAUGAUUAUGCAACCACAAGGAAAAAGAAACCCAAAAAGAAAAAACCUCCUGUCCCAUGUCACCACUGUGACCCAACUUUUGUCUCAAUCUGUUCAGUUCGUAAACUGAUGUUCUCAACUUUUGAAUUGAGAUGCAACAAGGUAUCAUUUUGUGCCCUGGCAUUUUGGGUUUGCCAGUUGAGGACUGACUCAAAGGGUUUAGGGGGCUCCAGGUGGCCAGUGGAGGUAAUAGGUGAAGGGAUAAAGGGUUUUGACACAACAUUUCGUUGGGGAUCUGUGUGGGGUUCCAAAGAAGGAAAGGAAGAAGAGUAAUCGGAACAGGUAGAGGAAAAUAUCAUACAAGCCAGUGGUUGGACGAUAGGCGUUGGGUUUGGGAAAAAGGUCUUGGAGAGCUUUGGAUGCUUACAAGAGGGACAACGGCAUGGUGGAUAAGGGCAAUUAUAGUCUCUGGGAGUACACUUUGGAGUAUACUGAGGGGAAGUUUGGGUAGCUUUGUCAACUUUGGAUGGUUGAGCUGGUCGUUUGGAAGAUUGGGUUGAGGGUCCUGGUUUAGAGGGGCCAGGUUCAUCCAUUGUUGGUUGGGGAAACUGGUGAAGGUGUUGGCUCAGAGGGAGAAAUGCAUCCCAUGGGUCUUGGGAAUCCUGGAACAAGAAAUCAGUGUAAUCUGGUUUUUCUUCUUUGAUGAUGAUACCAGUGGACUUAGGUUUAGAUAUGGCCGAUGGAGUGGGGAUCAUGAGGAGGUCAUGUUGUGGACCUAAGGAGGUGUGGGAGAUAUCUUUAAGUGGCGGAGGUUGGUGGUUCAGUUGGCAAAGGUAGUUGUGCAGGACAUCUUGUAUGUCAUUUUCAAUUACAGCUAUAUGUGGUGCAGUGAACCAUUCAUAUACCUGGUCUUGGGUCCAAAAGAGUUUGGUGUCUGGAUGUUGGAAGUAUGGCCUGUGAAUAAUAAAAACUGAUGUGAACAUUUGUGCUUCAUGGGCAGGCAUACGGUCAAGGUUGUGAAUGUCAGACAGUUGUUGCAGUUUCUUUCUCCACCAUGGUAUGGGGGAGAACCAUUCAAGUAAUGUCCAGGUAAGAGAGGUGGCUUUGUCUGGGUCAAGGAGAUGUUCCAAAGUAGGAGAAAUGGGAAGGAUUAGCUUGGUGGCAUAGAGGACAGUGAGGCACCAAACAUACCAUAACACAUCUUCAGUGGUGUCUCUGGUCGGAUCAAGGGUUAAACCUGUAAGGAACAGAUUUUCUGGGUGGAAAGUGGAAAAAGAAAAAGGGUCUGUGACAAGGUAGGCUUUCAUGAAAAAGCGAAAGUUUGGGAAAAAGGUCUUGGAGAGCUUUGGAUGCUUACAGGAGGGACCACGGCAAGGUGGAUAAGGGCAAUUAUAGUCUCUGGGAGUACACUUUGGAGUAUACUUAGGGGAAGUUUGGGUGGCUUUGUCAACUUUAGAUGGUUGAGCUGGUCGUUUGGAGAGUCUGGAGAGCAUAUCAGGGAUGAGGUUCUGGGAUCCCUUUAUAUGCUUGACUGAAAAGUCAUAUUUGGAAAACCAAUCUUUUAAUCUGAGUAACAUUUUUUCGGGAACAGUUUUACCUUUGAAAUGAAAGAUAUUGGGGAAGGCUGAGCUGUCCAUUCGGAUGAGAAAAUGGUGUCCAAUCAAAUGAUACUCAAACUUUUUGAUGCCAUUCUUGACUGCUAAGAUUUCUUUGAACACGCUAUGGUAGUGCUUCUGUGUGUCAGAAAAAUGUCCAAAGUUAUUGGUUCAACUCUUCCUAAUAAGGAUAUCUUGUUAGGAUUUGACAUCCUUCACCAAAUCAAACAUCUGUCUGUAAGAUGCGCUUGCCAUUUGUAAUCAACUUUAAAGGAGGCGGAUUUUGCGCAAUCUGCUUUAGGGUAGUGACAGCAAAUGUGUGGUCAGCAUUCCAUUCUGGGGGCUUCUUUUUCAAUAAAGCCGAGAGAUGGUGAGUGUAAUGAUCCACGUGGGGGAUGAAAUCACGGAUGUAGUUGAUGAUGCCGAGAAACUGUUGAAUUUGCCUUUUGGAAAGUUGCUGAUCUGGAAAGUGAAGCAAUUCUUGGGCAAUGUGCUUUCCUGGCUGGUAGUGUCCAUCUUUUAUGAUCAUACCAAGGAAUUCAACAUUAUCUGUAGCAAUGAUGCUUUUCUUGGCCGAUAACAUGAUUCCAUGACUUUGGAGAAUAUCAUAGAAUUGAGUUAACAGCUGGCGAUGUUCAUCAUGUGAGCCUGAAAAAAGCAAAAUAUCAUCAAUAUAAAUCAAUGCAUGAUGCAAAAUGGGUUGGAAGAUUUGGACCAUGGAUUUUUGGAAAAUGGAUGGGGCAGUUUUGAGACCAAAGGGUAGGACGGUCCAUUGAAAGUGGGCAUUGGGAAUACAAAAAGCGGUUUUGUAGCGUUCGGAGGGUUCAAUGCCUAGUUGCCAAAAACCUGAUUUUAAAUCAAAUUUUGAAAAGAUCUGGGCAUUUUUUAGAAAAGUAAACAUGCUUUGUCGACGAGGUAAUGAGAAUUUGUCAUCUUGUAAAAACAUGUUUAAUGGCUGGUAGUCAAUGACUAGGCGUUUCUUUCCUCGGACAAUUUCAGAAUGCUUUUCAACAUAAAAGGCUUGGCAAGCCCAUUGAGAACUUGUGGGCUCAAUUAAACCUUGGGCUAACAAUUGUGAACAUUCUUGUUGGGCUAGGAGUAAGUCAGAAGGACUCAUUCCUAGAUGGGUAGCUUUAGUUGGGUUAAUGUCUUCAUUGAGUUUGAAGGGUAACUUAAUGAAGAAAGACUUAUUUUUCCACAAGGGAUUUGGAUGGGUGAACUCAGAAUGGGACUCUGGACAGAAACUCAAAGUUUGGUUGAAAUAUCCUGGUAAGACUGGGGAGUUUCAGACAAAUUGUAGAGUUUCAGAAUGUCUGUGAACGGUUUGAACAUGGACUUGACUCGGAUUCCAGUGGGAAUGAUUUGGAGGUGUUUGAUUUGGUGAAGGAUGUCAAAUCCUAACAAGAUAUCCUUAUUAGGAAGAGUUGAACCAAUAACUUUGGUCCAAAUGACACAAUUGGGGAAGAUUUGAAUACCAAUGGGUUUUUUGGUAAUCAAAGAGGUGGUAAAGAGUUUGCCAUUGACAGCUUUGAAAUGUUCUUCAGACUGGAUCCAAUAUUCUGAUGGAAGAAUAUGGGGGUUUAACAUGCUGCGUUGGGCGCCAGUAUCUAUAAGACCAAUUGCUGGAAUGGGCCUUUGGAAUUUUGAGGGCAAGAUCUGGAGUUUGAUGGACGGGAUAGGAACUGUAGUAUCAAGGGAGAGUGACUGUUGAUGGAAAAUCACUUGAGACUGGUCACUGUCUGAAUCAGAGGAAUUCUGUAGUGCGAACACUGUUUCAUCAUUGGGUUCAUCUUGUUCAGAGAAAUAGAAUUCCAGCUCAUCUUUGGCAGGAGAGUAGUCGGUAGUUGCUUGAAGAUGCUCAACUAACCGGAUGAAUUUUUCUCUUUUGUUGGGGCAAUCUUUGGCAUAGUGGCCUUUUCUCUUGCAGAUGAAACAUCUGCUUGAUUGCUUUCGUUUGAAUUCUCUAGAGGAGGAAGAUUUCUUCCUGAAGAACCGGUAGGGCUUUCGGGAUCUGCGAGGCUUGGAGGAAAAUUCUGGAGGUUUGAAUUUCCGAAAAUGCCAUUUUUUCUUUGAACUGCAAUCACAAUCCUUUUUCUUGUGGCAUUUGAUCUGCAGAUAAGGCUUUUUGCAAGCACUUCGGAAAGGUUCUUUGUCUUUCAACAGUUCUUUGAAAAACUGUUUUUGCUCGCAAAGUUUGUCAAGACAAGUUUUGGCAAGCUGAAAGAUUUUGCCAAGAGAGAUGUUGUCUAGGGAAAGAUUGGAUGCGGUGAGUUGUCUCUGGAUGUUGGGUUGGAGUUCUUCGGGGAGGGAAGCCAGAAAGACAUGCUUUAAUGUCGGCUCAUUGAAUCCAUUAAGCUUAUAGAACAGCAGGGACAUUCGCUUAUAAUGGAAGUCAAGAUCCUUAGCAUUGAGGGAGCAGCAUUUCAUGUUGAGAUAAUCUCGUCUGGCAGCUUCAAAGACUGCAGAAGGGUCUCCAAGGAAUUGAUCAUGAAGUACAGUAAGAGCACUUGAGACUUCUGGGAGAUCAACAAACUGUAGUUGGCGGUAUUGUCCUAACGAAUCAAACCAAUCUCUUAGAGCACCCGUGAAACGAGUAGCAAAUUCUCUAAGGACUGAUUGAGUUGUUGCUCCUGGUCUUAGCAUCUGGAGGUCAAUCCAGGCAGACAUUUCAUUGAGUCGGUCACGCCAUUUAUGAGAUGAAAGAUCAUCAAAUGUGAACCAUGGACCAUUUGACGAUUUGUGACUGGGUGGAUUGGUCUGGGUUGGAGGAGGGUGGUUUGUGGCAGAAGAUUCAUGCAUUUCUUCUUCAACUUCGGAGGGAAUAUCAACAUAUGGGUCUGUAUGAGAGGUUUGGCCUUGGGUAGGUUGAUCAGGUUGAGCCAUCAGGAUUUUGGUGAUAUCAGCAUAAGACUUUUCAGAGUCACUGGUGGAUAAUGAAGAUUCUGUAUCAGUUUCGGUAGGGCUAUCUGAAACAGCUGGAUUUGAAUCAGAAGUUUGAUCAUUUGGGGUAGAUGAAUGGGUGACUGUAUGAGCAGUAAACUGAUGCAUGGGUUCUUUAUCUUUUGAUUGGGUAGGGACUAACAAAGGAGCUGGUGGUGAUAUUGGUGCAGAAGUAAGAGAUGGUUGGCCAGGGAUGGUCAAUGAGGAAGGAUGAAGAGGGGCAGGUCGAGGCUGCGGUCUAGGUUUGGGUUUAGGUUUAGGUGGUGGUGGCAAAGGAUUGUCUCGGAAAAGAGUAUGAGUCAUACCAAAUAACUUGGAAGGGUCAUACUGUUUAAUAGGAGAAAGCAUAGAGGCAAAAGGAUGAUAAGUUGGACCGAUGGAAGGGAUAUGAGGAGAUGUGGUGAAAAGGGUAGGUCUCUGUUUUUCAGAUUCAAUCUGGGCAAGUUCAGCUUUUAAGCGUCUGAUUUCCCUUUCUUUUUGGUCAAAUUCGGGGCCUGAGUAACGAUGGGCAAGCAUGGCUCGUAACUCAGAGUCAAGUUGAGAAAUUCUGGACUGGAGGUUUUGGUAGAUCUGCUGCAUCUGUGCAGUGAUGGAGUCAACUUUUGUCUCAAUCUGUUCAGUUCGCAAACUGAUGUUCUCAACUUUUGAAUUGAGAUGCAACAAGGUAUCAUUUUGUGCCCUGGCAUUUUGGGUUUGCCAGUUGAGGACUGACUCAAAGGGUUUAGGGGGCUCCAGGUGGCCAGUGGAGGUAAUAGGUGAUGGGAUAAAGGGUUUUGACACAACAUUUCGUUGGGGAUCUGUGUGGGGUUCCAAAGAAGGAAAGGAAGAAGAGUAAUCGGAAGAGGUAGAGGAAAACAUCAUACAAGCCAGUGGUUGGACGAUAGGCGUUGGGUUUGAAAGUGGUGAUGGAAUCUCAGAUUUGCAAUGUUUGGCAAUCCAUUUGAGUUCCUUUCGAUAGAUGGGUAAUGGAGCCGGUGGAGGUGGAGGAUCUGAUGGUGGUUUAGGGUCACAGUGGUGACAUGGGACAUGAGGUUUUUUCUUUUUGGGUUUCUUUUUCCUUGUGGUUGCAUAAUCAUCGUCUUCUUCCCAAUCAUCCCAGCAGGGACAAUUUGGGUCACACAUGCCGAAACCAGGGGCAUCCCAUAGGAAAUGGCCAUUGUGUUUGGCUGGAUAAACAGGGUAACCUUCAGAAUUAAACCCUGUAAUGGGCAGAUCUUCUUGGGCUGUCUGAACAGCUGUGAUCAUUGAGGAAUAAGUAAAGGAGAGCCGAGGAGGCUCUUGUGGAGCACUGAGAGGUGGUUUAAAAGUCAUUCUGACUGUUCCAUCUUGUCGUCUUUCAAACAUACUUUCAGAUGUCUGAAUAGGAGCUGUAUUAUUGUGGAACUGUUCAUAGUUGGAGAUCCAUUCAAGAGGCAUAAGCUUGAUGAGCUCAUGACGGGGGAUUUGUCGUGGGAUCUGGAUGAUUGUCGGGAUCUGGUCAGAUUCUGCUAACACCAUGAGGGUGUCAGAGUAGUGUUCUGGUGUGGGUAGAUCUAAGGCAUGAUUUUGAAGCCUGUAGACCAGUUGGUGGUGUAAAGUGGCAAUUUUGGCAGAAGAAAUUUGUUCAGCACCUUGAAUUUGGAUUUGGACCUUCAAGGUUGUGGGCAAGUUGGGAUCUUGGAGAGAAAGGUUGAAGUUGGGAUAGAAAGUGAGUAACACACUUCCUGCAUGAAGGGUUGUGAGGACAGUGCCAAUAACAGCAUCUUGGUACUGUUUAAACCGGGUAUCAAGCAUAGCAAGGCGAGCUGUAACCGGUAAUCCUUUUCUCCCAUGAAGGGUAAGGAUUAAUCUGAUGCCUCCAAGGUGGAGAUGAGUGUAACCUUCUCGUUUCCAGUUGGAAAUCAACUCUGAGGGUAUUUCAAGAGUGACAUAUUGCUCAGCAGGGGUUGCUUGGAGUGAACACUGAUCCAGGCGAGAAGACUGGAUAUAUUCUUUAGGGUGAGGUCUUCGGGUGGAUAUGAGAGUACGGAUACUGCGAGUAAAAGAACUGGGGCGUUUGUAUAGGUGGUAAGGGCUGAGGAGAGGGUAAGAAGAUUCACUGAUUUGGGCGGAUUCAGGGAUGUAGGAGUAUUCUACAAGAUGUUCAAUUUUGUUGGUAGUAUGAGAAGUGCAAGAUUUCGGCAAAGAAAGAGUGGAAGAAAGAGUAACAGGAGUUUAAGGAUUGGAAGAUGAAGUAGAAGCCAUGAAUGAGAAAUUCUCUCUGCGUCUGAAGUCUAUGGAGCAAAAAAGAAAAAAGACUUAAAUUAUACCAUUUUGAUCAUGUAAACAAGAAUUUAGAAAACAAGUUUCAAGGAACGGUAUGGCUCUGAUACCAGUUAAGAGUGUACGUGGCGUUGUUAUACCAGAACUACAACAGUAAAACUGUUCUUUGGACCAGUAGUCCGCAAGCUCGGGUUUCCAGCCGAUAUACCUCUGUAAUCAAAAACCUUUAAUAACCGGGUAUCAAGCAUAGCAAGGCGAGCAAUUCAACAGUUUCUCGGCAUCAUCAACUACAUCCGUGAUUUCAUCCCCCACGUGGAUCAUUACACUCACCAUCUCUCGGCUUUAUUGAAAAAGAAGCCCCAAGAAUGGAAUGCUGACCACACAUUUGCUGUCACUACCCUAAAGCAGAUUGCGCAAAAUCCGCCUCCUUUAAAGUUGAUUACAGAUGGCAAGCGCAUCUUACAGACAGACGCAAGUGAUGAAUCAUGGGGUGCCAUACUCCUUGAAGAAAUCAACGGAAAAGAACACUUUAUCGCUUACGCUAGUGGACAUUUUUCUGACACACAGAAGCACUACCAUAGCGUGUUCAAAGAAAUCUUAGCGGUCAAGAAUGGCAUCAAAAAGUUUGAGUAUCAUUUGAUUGGACACCAUUUUCUCAUCCGAAUGGACAGCUCAGCCUUCCCCAAUAUCUUUCAUUUCAAAGGUAAAACUGUUCCCGAAAAAAUGUUACUCAGAUUAAAAGAUUGGUUUUCCAAAUAUGACUUUUCAGUCAAGCAUAUAAAGGGAUCCCAGAACCUCAUCCCUGAUAUGCUCUCCAGACUCUCUAAACGACCAGCUCAACCAUCUAAAGUUGACAAAGCCACCCAAACUUCCCCUAAGUAUACUCCAAAGUGUACUCCCAGAGACUAUAAUUGCCCUUAUCCACCAUGCCGUGGUCCCUCCUGUAAGCAUCCAAAGCUCUCCAAGACCUUUUUCCCAAAAAGCAAUCCUGACAACCCAUAUGAGACAGAAAGCUCAUCCGAAGACGAGUACAUGAACCUCCGCUCUCCAUAAAGUUGUUUGUCUUGUUGCUUUCCAUAAAGUAGUUUGUCUUGUUGUCAUAAUGAUGUUUCGCUUUAUGCUUGCAUAAUUAUUAAAGUUUGCUUUUACUUUAAGCUUUUGCUUUUGCUUUUGUCAAAGUCAUGCUUUAAUUAUUAAAGCACUUUUGUCUUUUGUAAUAAUUAAAGUUGUGCCAUUAUGUAAAAGAUAGGGGUCCUGUCCU